AAUGAUAAACACGUUAUUGUUAAGACUGUUGAACAGUGAUUAAAACAUUUGGAAAUUGUUCUCUGGUGAGGCAGCAACAGAUCAAGGCACCAUGGCAUGAUCCGAUCUCUCUCCAUCCACUAAAGCCUAAGUGCCAACAGGGGCCAAGGUAUGAAACUGUCCCAGGCUCCCAUAGCCAGGGCAGGAAGGCUUGCCUGCACCAAAUGAUCGGCUCUCGCAGCUGGGUGAGAAGUGCAACACCAUUUCCAGGCUAUUUUGCCAUCCAGACAGGUUUGGUCCCUAGGAAAUCGCUGGCUGAAACACGGUGAUUCCCUCUGCAAAGCUACACAAGCUGUUUUACAGCUCAGGGUGCAACCUGGCCCUAAAUAACGUCAUAUUCCAAGAACAUUCCCCCCCGCCCUCCUUUUUUCUUAAAUGCUCCAGUUCUGUGCAUUUCAUCUGGGGAAGUGCUGGUGUCUGGGAUAAAUUUUUCUGACCCCAUCGUGUUUAGGACAACGCUGAUUGUUCUGCACAAAAUGCCCUACUUACACUUCAGUCACCAGCCAACAUGUGAAAUGUUUUGGAUGCCUUCUGUCAGUGAUUUACAAAACAAUAAACAAGGUAAAAAUAAAGAAGGAACCAUCACGAGUGCCCAUUCCACGUCUUUCUCUCUCUGGCUGUCUCUCACACUUUAUUGGUAUAAUUAUAGCUCGUCUCCCCGUGUUCCCUUAGCAACAGAUGAGGAGGUGUCUGGCUGCCUGUCCACACCACUGCCUCGCUCAGAGGACAUAGCAAAUGGUGCUGCUCUGCCUCCCGCCCUGUGGUGGGAUGCUGACGGGGGGGAAGCUCCUGUGGGAAGACCCACAGCCAUAAGCGCUCAGAGAUGCUGUUUUGAAGAACCAGAUGGAACUGGGACAGGUUUUUCAGAGGAUACAUGGAAAUUCUCUUGGUGAUUUUGAGUUUUAUAAGAAACAUGCAGGCGACAUUGCCAGGUCUUGCACACUUUAUUGCAUUAUUAUGUUCCUGGUCAGAGUGGAUUGUUUUUAAAAUCUGUUACUGCUAGCACAAGGACCUGGGUCAACUGGAGAAGGGCCAGCUGUUUCCUACAACUCCUCCCAACAGAAGUCAGCAGCUGAGCACCUCAGGUACGAAAAAACAGUGAUACCAUUUCCAGCUCCUCAAACACCUCCUCCCCAGCAGGUGCUGUUCUGGGACUGGACCUGCUUGGCCUGGCAAGGCUCCUGGCAGAGGGUUGCCUGGACCCAGCAGCAAAUCUGGCCUCCAGGUUUCACAAAGAUGCAGGUGUCUGACUGCCUUUGUUGUAUAAUCAAAUAUUGUUUUCUACAUCUCAUCAUGCAGCUGUGGAUUAGAAAACUCAAUGGCAGAGUCUACCUGCAUUUCUAAAAGUCCCAUCUGUAGUGUGCUUCCCCAAAGUCCUGGCAGACCAUGAUGUGAAUUGGUGUUUUCUGUUCUUUGCUACCAAUAGCAAAGAAAAUUGCAAAGAAACAAACAAGCUGAUUCAAUGCCGUGUAUGCUGUUCAAGCAAAAGGGAGACAGGAAAAAGCCAGCAGAGCAGGCAGACACUAGCCAUUUUAUAAUCUUCCCAGGCCCCUCACCUGCAUGUCCCUCUAUCAGUUACCAUCUUUGGGGGCAGGACUUUUGUCACCACACCUGCACUGUCAUAGCUGCAUCCACUCUGAGAUGUGUGGGUCAGGCAGAAAGCUCAGGGAUAGAAAGCAAAUGUGAAACAUGAUACCCCAUAUAUAGCCUUGUACUUUGUGCAGUCCAUAGGUGACAUCAGCCUGUGGCUGCGCCCUGCUCAGGACAGGAGAGGAAGGGCCAUCUGAGACCCCUGCACAGCUUUGUUAGGCUGGUCUGUGCACCCAGCAUGGACAUGCUCCAUAUUUCCUGCAGCACUCUGUGACAGCUGAGGGGAGAGGAACAGGGGCUCUGUCCUGCAGGUCCUGUCAAUCCCUUACCAUCCUGGAUGCUCCUGGCAUGUGGGGUGUCAGUAAAUUCCCAGCUGGCUGGAGCCCAAACCUGGCUCCUCUGCACCUCCAGCAGACUGGGCUGAGGCUUGACCACUCUCUGGCUUGUAUCUCCUUGCUUAGAGCUCCUGUGUUCACCAUGUGUCUGCUUGCAGAACAAAGCUGCUCUUUCGGCAAGGAAGCACAAUCAAAAUAAAGGUUCACAUGUUCUGAGUAAAACCUAAUACAAGGGAAAUGCUUUGUCAGUCUCAUUCUGUUAAGUUUAGCAAGAUAAAGCUGUUCGCUUUGGGAAGAGCCUUGUCAAAUCAAAUCAAACCUAUUCUGCUCUGAACAGUACUGUAUGGAAAUGAAUCAUCCCAGUGUAAGCUGGAACAAUCGCAUAUGCUGCCUGAGACACAUUCUGUGUUUCCAUCUCAGAUUUCAAGGCACCCAUACAGCCAAAGCAAGUUGCAGUCGUCGGCUGCAUAAUUCCGUGCAAACUGUGGGUUUGGGCUUCAGUUCUGCAUGUGCAAGGGCUUAUAAGAAAUGCAAGAGUCUGGAACACGCAGAGCAGAAGGGAGAAGACCAGGCUUCUAAUAAAAAGGUCUCCAAGUAAAAGAGUUACCUCAGAAAAGUGCUUUGGGUUUUUCAGAAAUGCCUGAAUAGUCCCUGGUUUUGCAGGACUAAGUACCAGUCCUGCUUUCCCAUAGUGUGGUAGCAUGUGGCUCAGUAGUGGGCCAUGCCCCUUCUGUCUGCUGUGUGUCUCCAGGUGCCCAAAAUACAAAAGUGUCUUGUUCUUGGAAAAGUCACAUAGUUAUGUGACUGUGGGAGGCUGGAGAGAGGGUUUCCGAAUUUCUCCCAUGGGCAAAGUGACCUUAAUAGAAAAUGUCAUGAUUUUAUGAUGCAGUGUGUACUGCAGUGCUGCUGCAUCUCCGUUUCUUCUCUGAGUCUGCUCAAUGUCAUUAUUGCCAGCUAAAGUUCAUGUGCAAACAUAAGGAGGGAGUAGCCUUCACCUGCAGACCUGGGUGGAAAGGAAGGAGAAAGUUCAGUCAAACUUUUGUUUGUGUUUUACUCACUGGGGAGAAAUUUAGAAGAAUUAAAUUCAGGUGAGCUUUACAAGUACCAUCAAACAAGCUCCGAGUACAGGCCCUGAAAACAGGACAGGACAGGGCUCAGAGGUGGCCAAACCUGGAGAAGCUUAAAGUACUUGCUUUCCAGGGAGGCAAGGUGCACAUAAGCAAAAUUAUUGUUUGGCUACUUGCUCCAUUUCCUGGAUGGUUUGGAAUCAAGUUUCUCCUGACUCCAAAACCUUGUAGGCAGAACUGAGCCCCUGACAGAGAGUCCACCAGGGUCAGACUGGGGGCAAAUACAGACCCAAAAUAGAUCAGCUGCAGCAGUCUGAUGACUGUGAACAGAAACCACCAGCUGUUGACAGUACAAAAAAAAUAUUUAAAAGAUGUGUACUGCCUGGUGCAACUUGGUUUCUUCGCUCUGCUAUGAGUCACAGCUGUAGACAAGUCUUUGGAGAAGCAGAAUAUACCUUUCACAUUUCCAGAAGCAUAACCUGCCUUGGCUGACCCUGGUUGAGGGCUGCACUGAUUUACAUGCCAUAUGCUCCAUCCAGAAUACUUGUUUGGUCUCAGACAGAGCAUAACAAGAUUAUGGAAUAGUUAUGGGAUUAGUUAUGAUAAGCUGUGGAUCCAAGUUGCUUCUUUCUACUUCAGAUCUUCCAAGAGACUCAAGAAGUGCAUCUAUUCAUCUUCCUGACCUCUCAUCACCAGCUCUUCUAGACUCAAUGCCAGCCAACAUCACUGGUGCUGAGCAACUAGAUCCCAUACAGUCAGACUGAAUGACCUAAGCACCAUGGAGCUUGCUGCCUUUGGGACAACCUCCCUGUUCCCAGGGAAGCUCAGAGACCUGGUGAGAGGUACCGUGGGUUUUCACCAGCCAGCUGCAGGGACAGAGAGACCACUUUGCUGUGCUUAGACUUGGAAGUGGGUGGAAAUCAAGUUUUCUCCUAGAGAGCUGGACCAUCUGGCCCCUUGAUGCUAAGCAGCCUCAUGCUCCACUUUGACAAGGGCUCCAGGGCAUUAAGAGACAGUCCCCAUCCCUUUCUAGUCUGUCAGCUUUUGCACAAACUAUUUUUCUGCAUUGUGGGAGAUAAAUAUUUCCUGGGUUCAGCCAUAACUCUUCCCUGUUCCUACCCCCAGAUCUUCUGAGAGAGAGGGGCCAUCAAUUUAGGAAGUAUUUGAAAAUGCCUUUUAAUUUCCCUAGGUAAUAACAGAAUCUACUUCAGGGACUUAAUCUGGGCGUAGUGUAAAAUUCAAAUGAGCCCCAACCCUAAAGUAUUAAAAUGGGAAAAUUGUAGCUAAAUGUAAGCAUCUCAGUACCUGCAGAAUUGUGUCCAGCUUUUCAGAAUAACACUCAUCUCUUUUAGGCAUGUCAAAUGCAGCACAAUGUUGCAAACUUUGGUCCUUUGAUUUUAAACUUUGUAUUGGCUGAAGAAGUGGUUGACUGCUUAGGCUGGAGGAUAUUUUAGGAAAAGAAUCAUCCUGGUUUUUAAUUUAUUUUCUAAGCAUACACAAACAACCAGUCCUGGAUAUAACCUCUGGGUUUGAUGAACAUUGUUCUUUUCUGUAGUUAUCUUCUUAUGCAUGUUUAGGCAAAGUCACAGACCUGGCUUAUAUUGAAUAAACUGUCUCCAUGGGAUUUUAUGCAGCAUCAGGCAGACCUAAUUUGACUAAAUAAAGCACCUGCUGGCCCAUAGUAAUCUAUGUCAGCAGUGCCUUAAGCAACAGCUAUUCUCAAUAUGGUAACUUCUGAAGUACUCUAGCCCAUCUUGUGUUAUAGGUCCAAAUUACAGGCCAUGGAAAGAGGAAGGAGAAAACCUUAGAAUGUGACAUUCUUCAGCAUGAGGAGUCCUUAAUAAAUCUGGAGGUCUUUAAUUUAGUACUUUCCUGCAAACUACAUCCCAUCACAGAAUAAGUGGAUCUGAAGUAGUCUUGCUUGACCUCUGCCAAUACGUGUACUUACUCAUGCAUUCUGCAGGCAACAAAAGAAAUAUGUGCUAUUUUCUAACCUGCGUCUCUGCAUGCUGAUGUCUGUACACCUUGUAAAAUCCACUUCUACUAUGUGUGGGGUUGCAGCCUACUCCUGCAUUUGGCAAAAAGUCUGCCUUCUUACCCUUGUUCACUGAUCAGGUGAAGCAAUAUCAGGAAAGAAGGAGCCAUCAGGAUUGUCUUUUAAAACCAUGUACAAAUUUAUCUUUGAAUGGCUGGACCUGGGGCAGUGCUAGACGUGCCUCAAAAGUCUGCUUGAAAUUAAAAUGCAUAUUGCAUGUAUCGUAGGUCAUGGCCGCAAAUGGAUGGCACUCAUGAAAAGGCCAGUUCUCUGCACUCUCAAGUCUCUGUGGUGCCUAAAAAAUAACUGGUUUUAUUAGUCAGUAUAAAGUAAAAGCUCUGUUUUCUACCUUUGUGCAUUGUUCAUACCAGAGGAUCUACGUAUUAGAGCUAAGGAUAUUGGAUUUGUUGCAGGUUUUGCCUCUUUGCAGGAUUUUCUUUGCUUCCCUGUGUACUGACUACCCCUACCUUGAGAGCACUGGUUCAUGCAGUGCGUGCUUAGGCAAAGAAAAACAAAGGCAGACUAUUUUUCCCUUGGCUGGCUAUUACUUUCUUUUGUUUAGAUAUUCUCAUUUGAAAGAUGGGCUGGAAUCAUACUCCUGUCAAAAAAAAAGUAGUGGUAGCCAUCUAGAAAAACUAAGCAUUAAAAUUACAUGGAUAUUCAUAAAACUAGGGAGGAGGGGUCACCUUGCUAAUUUUCACAGUCUUCUACAAGGCAUGGGACCACUUUUAAAAAGGCAUCGUAAUAUUUUUUCUUCCCCUCUAAAAUAAGCAAAGGUCCCUAUUUUAACCACCCCUCUCAGAAACAGCCAGACUGUUUUCAGUAGAGCUUACAAAACAAGCAGCUGUGUAGUUUGAAACACUGAACCCAUAUGGGAAACUUCCACUCAGGUGAGGUCCAUAAACUAGUAAGAGCACGAUCUAGUGCUACAGUCAUGACUUUUUGAGGGCAGGAACUGGUAAAAUAAUUAAGAUUUCAAAAUAUAAAUGACCGGACACUUUUGGUAUUGGGGUAAUCAGUGGAGGUCAGAUACCAUGGCCAACUUCCUUCAUUUUCCCUUUUAUGGGUCAAGGACUCCUAUUUUUUUUUUUUUUCUGAAAUGAUGGCAUAAUUAAUAAUUAUUAAUAUAGAAAGAAUCUCUCAACAAUCAAGCCUAAAUAAUCUGCAGAGGUGUGCACUGAUCACAACAGAAUGUGUUGGUGUGUUAACAACACUUAUGUGUAUACUUCCAUGCGUUAUACUUGCUUACUAGCAACGCUAUGCUGUAAUUAGCCUCCCUGGGAAUCUUAAUUCCAGGAGCAAAGUCAUUAAUUUCAGCUCCUCAUUUUCCAGUGUACGUACACACGUGCACACACACAUACACAAAUACAAUGUUCAGCUGCAUGUCUGAGUUCAUACACACAACUCUUGACAACUGUUUUGAGAGCCUUUUUAAUGAAGGGUGCAAUAACCAUUAAGUUCAGGAACAAGAUCAGCUAGUAUUUCUGAGCUGCUCCUUAACUUCUUACCCUGUAAUUUAUCUAGUCAUUUUUAAAAUGGCCAUGGAUGUGUCUGUCUCGCUAAGGUUAUAUGGGAUUUCUCAUGAAUACCAGUGUAUAAGCAGCUCUUUGUCUGGGUCAAUGUGAAUUUCUUCAGAGCAACCAUGGAAUCCCCACGUACCCAGCAAGGGCUGAUGCACUGUGGCUAAUGGAUUUUUCUCUACCAAAUCAGUAGCUUUCAAAUUCAGGGUGCAUGUGAUAAAAGUCAUGCCACGUCCUGUUUUGGAGCUCAAUGCCCUCUUCAACCUACUUUCUCAGUCCAUAUUUGUGUGAGAUCAAUUUCCCUGCUGUCUUCUGGCAGAUUAGAACUCUGUGAUUAAUAUGUAAAUUAUUUUUGUUCAUCUUAUUAGCUUUAUGUGAAUUAUGUUUAACCUGUUGGUAUUCUCCAUAUUUCCAAACAUGUCAUACUCAUCCAUUUUAAGGAUAUAGGGUAUUUGCUGACAGAAUAAUCAAAUCCAUACCACUGCGUAACAAGAGUAAGUGAAGGGAAGGAUGUGAUUAUGUGACUGGGGUGAACUAUCAUGGCUUCAGUCUCACAACAAUGUUCUUCCAGGUUUGGAAAGGCAAUGCAAGGUUUCUCUUUGCAUUUCCCAAGCAGCCCUUGUGAAGUAGCCAAUGGUUGUCAUUGCAGAUGUUUCAUGGAUGGUUCAAGUUGUUCCGUUAUUUAUUUUGUAAUCUCUUCCCCAACAGUCAAGGCAAUCUAUGGAAACAAACACAAGUAUGAAUUUCUAGGGAAAAACAUAAGGUAGAUACUGGCAACUUGUUUCUACUUCACUGCUCCCCUCGCUGCCUCCCCCAUCUGUCAUUUCAGCUAAUCCUCUCUCCACCCAAAUGAUCAGCUAGCAGAAAAUGGUCAGCAACACGUGCUGGGUCUCUGUGAUGAAUCCAUGCUUGUGCUCCCUGCCCAGGAGCCAUUCAGAACACAGGAGUGGCCAUUCUGCAUCAGAGCAAAGAGGCCUCUAUCCCAGACUUGGAAUUUUCACUGCAGCAGAGGCCGACUGAAAUGACCACGUUCCCAUAGGCGUUCCCAUCCGAGCUGGUCAUGUAGAUUCCUGCCAGAGAAAAAAACUUCUCCCAUGUGAAUGUUUGAUUCACCUACCCCAAAGCAAAUGCUUAAAAUAGGGCUAAAUAAUUGCUCCCUAAAAUGUACCUAUUUCUCUCAAUGGCGCAUGAAGUGAGCUGGGGUGAGUAGGUCUGCUGUCCACAUCUCAAUUAUCAGCGUCUGAAGUCAGGCAACAUAAUUUCCACUUGCACAAGGUUUCAAGACAAAACCUUAGGUUUUCUCAGGGCUCAUUCAGGAGGGAGGAGAUAAAGGGUGGAAAAACAGACUAUUAUUUGAGUAAAAAAAUGAAUGCAUGAAAAAAAUGAGAAUUAACAUCUUUGCUAUGGUUAUGCUGAUUAUGCUACUUACAGUCUCUGGCACCUUGCUUAUUUUUUAAGUAUUUGAGAUGUAGGUUUUGGAGGCAUGAGCUGCAUACUGCUGUGUUUGUGCACUGACAGAGCCAACAGAGGUUCAGUUUUAUUGGUCUUAUUUUAGGGCUCACGGAAUGUGUAUAUUUUAUUCCAGCAACCUACUCUACAGAGAGGGUUGUUAUCCAAUAAACAAACUUAGCCUGGAAGAAACAAGGUUUUCCAAUGAUGUUGAAUAGCUGAAGCUAUUUUAGGCAUGCUGGUCUGUGCAUAGAGAAUAUAUAAUGGCCUAAGUCUAUUAAAGACACUUGUCUUCAUGAUGAAAGGCAGGAGGGAUAAUUCAAGCCUGGUGUCUGGUUUCUAUUAAUAGAAUCAAAAAUAAUGAGCUAAAAUAUUGUGGUUUUUUACCAGCUCUCCCUGAAGCAUCAGUCCACAUACACAUAGCUGUCUAGGUGCUGAAGUUCAAGAAAUACAUAUAAAGAAAAACCACAGGGAAACAAACAAACAACAAAACCAAAAACAAAACAAAAAAACCCACCAAAACCAAAACCAAAACCAAAGGAAAAUUUGGGGGUUUUAAAUCCAUUUAAAAAUAUCUUUUCUUUAUUUUAAACAAACUUUCAUGAGAUAAUACAUAGGAUUGGAUAUUCAGGGCAUUUUCGUUGUAGGAGGGUAAUUUUCAAUUACCACCUCUGUAUUAUUGGCCUAAGUACAAGAGGGAAAGAUGCUACUGCCAUCAGUGAAUAGGAGAUGGUGUAGCAUUUAGAUGGAAAAGUGUCUUCUAUAUGUUGGGCAAAUCCUUUGAAUGAAGGGUAAUUCUUGGUUGUUCCUCGUUAAUCUCUUUUUCUCAAAUGCAGGAGAACAGGUCAAACUGAAAACCACACGCCACUGUGGGAGCCACUGUAACACUUAAAACCCUGUGUUAUUGCAACUAGCAGAAAAAAUAAGAAGUUAAAAAAUUAUUUUCAUUGCAUUAAUAAUAAUGUAUUUUUUCAUCUCCUGUCAAUUAUUUUUUUCUUAGAGUAAUCUUGGUAUAUGAAAGGCAUAUUUCAGCUUCCCAGUUCUGGCAAAGAUCUGGGAAGCGAAUUAUGAAAAUCAUAAAAAUCAAGUACAACUUGGAAGACAUCAUCUGUCUGGCCUCCCUGCAGAAGUGCUUUGCAGCAGCCACCUCUGAGGUGUGUUUGACAUGGUGUGUAAGACAAAGUAGCUUUGCUCUAAUUCCACAAAGCAGAAGUAGGGAAAAAUACUAGUCUACCUGUUGCAGGCAAACCAAUAAAAAGAAAGUCAGUCCUUGGAAUGUGUUUUGAGAAGACGAUCCUGUGGCUGAGGAUUUUUAUUUUAAAUUACUCCAAGACAGCAAAGCCAAAUAUUUUCUCUUACAUCUAGUUUCCUGAAUUAGUGAUCACCGGAGGCUUUUGAAGAAGCAUGAGUCAGUGGUUUCACUUGAGGGCACCAGCCACAUUCAGAGUAGAACUGUCUUUUUAAUAUGCUUUGAGGAUAAAUACAAACUAAAAGUAAAAUUCAUGCUCAUCCAGCCAUCGGCUUAAAAAUGAAAUACAAACAAGAAAUGUCAACCUUUACACUCUUCAACUUUAUUCUGAAUCUUUAAUAUCAGUACAUGCAUCACAGUUGUGCCCAGACAGGCACACACACAAAACCAACAAAUACAGAAAAUACGCACUUUGUAUAAGUAUUAUGUGUGCGUGAAAAUUUGCAUUCUCUGUAAUCUGCAUUGAUCACUUUUGCAUGCUAGCUUAUAAAUAACCCUUACUGAGUGUACUCAGAUUCCACCUAAAACAUUCACUGCAUUUCCUUUGAAUCAGCAUGGAUGCAUGAAGAGGCCUGGAAAUUUAAAUCAGUAAAUGAUCAUUUGCCAGUAAAUGACAACUCUCUUGUUAUCUACGACAAUUGGGUGAUACUAAUACAAGACCAAAAAACUAUUAAUUCAGAUGUAUUUUUUUUUUUAAAGCAGCUUCACAGAGAUUGCAAACUGCGUAAUUGCGUGUUGCUCCUAAAAUCUGUCUGCACUUUUAUAAAAUAAUACUAUUAGCAUAGCACAUCUGGAAUACAUCUUCCAGGACUUUAAGCUAAUGCAAUCAGUGAUAGAAACAAGUAUUUCACCCAGCUUAAAUCUCUAAAUCUGCUUGUCAUCUAGAAACUUAUGGAAGCCACGUAAUAUUUACGGUCUGUGCCACUGUGGUAACAAGAGUUAAUUAUAUCUUACUAUUGCUGAGUGGUGAACCUUUUCAUUGUGAUAAAACAUGGAGCAAGCUAUUAAAAAGGAAAUAAUGGCUUAUAGUAGUCUUAUCUAGUGUAAUGCUUUGCAGUGGCUAUAAAGCUAUCCACUUUCCAUCUACCAGUGAGCCUGGUGAUUACUUAUCAAUAGCAAUUGAGCUGCAAAGUUCUUCCUGGGGAUAAAUAAAAACUUGCAGAGACCUGAUGAUCCACCUCAGCCUAUUUGCUGCGGUCAGCUUGUAGGUUUUCAGGCACGGGGCUCACUGCAGACAACACUGUGGCUACAAUGAGGGAAAAGGGAGAAAGAGGUGUGCAGGAAUGUGUGCCGCACAGACAGCGGGUUUUAAGCUCCAGCCAAUAUUGAGCUGAGACUAUUUAGGCCUCUAUUUGGCAAGGAACUUAAGCACGUGCUUAACUUCAGCCCAACCUAUGAUGUUACUGGAAAGCCCCAUAAACAUUUCAGCAUUUCCAGUCAUCUUGGAAGAACUUCUUUACAUUUUCUGUAUUUUAUAUGUGUAUACUUUCUUUACAUAUUCUUUAGCUCUUAAACUUCAGCAAGGAAGUAAGAGUUAUGCAAAACCAAGACCCCUGCAGCUAGAUAUCCCACACACUAAUUAUUGCAAAUUUGUGAGCUUAGUGAUAUCUUUUGGUGCUAGUGAACAUUUGGUUGAAUUUACAGUACUGUUCUAACUUUUAGGAGAGUCUAGGUAGCCUUGUUCUUCAUUGUAGCACACUCUCUCUUCUUAUAUAAAUAUGUAGAGCUUCAUAAAUUCUGUUCUGCCAGCGGCUUAGAAGAAACCCUUCUUAUACUUCAAAAUUUCAAUUGUGAAAUCAUGAGGGAAAUUACCCAGUGAAGAUAAGUGUAUUUUUGAACCCCCUGUUUUUGAGGAUGCUGGUAUUCUGCUCUGACAGUGCUUCCUGAGCAUCGGUAUGAAUCACACUUUCAAGUCACUAAUGAUUUCUUAAAUUAAUCUGAUACAAAUAAAUUCCCUGCUAUUGUUAGCCAUGACUAUAUCUUUUCCACAUGACUGGAUCUGGAUGGGAAAAAAACGUCUAUUGUGAGGUCACCACCACAAAAAAUGUCCAUCUAUGAGAAUUGCCAUUUAUUCCUGUUCUUCUUAUAAUCACUUCUAUGUGAUACAGUGCUCCUAGUCAUGCUUCAUUUUUGGAGAAGUUUCCAGUGAAAUACAAGAGUCAAGAUGGCUGAUAGAAAUAUUUUUUUGCCAUCCCUUUUUUGCUUCCCUGUGUGCUCAUGGACACAGACAAGGCCAGUGCAGGGGAAUGAAAACAUCAGAGAGGAACGCAGAAGACCCAGUGAUUAACCAGCACUGGGAAGGUCCCUCAUUGUGGCAUUAGGGCAGUGUGGGCUUUUCCCUUCCCAGCACGAACAGUUGGGUGGUGAGCGUGUACGUUAAUGGCACUGGCUCCAUGCCUGAAGCUUUCAUAUUUCUAUGGCUUCGCAGUUCCACCUGUCCUUCAGGAAAGAUGUGUGUUGGUUGCCUUGGUAGUUUCCUAAACAAAUGCAGUGUGUUCAGAAGAAGCACUUGGGGCUAGCAGGCUGAGGGUAGAGAUUACAGCAUUUCCCUCCAUGAGCAGCCCAGGAGUACAAGCUGGGGAAGGAGAGGGCAAGGGCAAACAAACCACAGAUACAGUCCAAGAAGGCUUAAAAAUCACAAACAGGUUAUAAACUGGUAAGCUUAUCACUAUAAUCAAAUACCCUUGAUUUACACAGAGAACACUUUUCCAGGGGGCCUUAUCGUCAGUGUACUCAGAAACAGGAUGCAUAAAAGGUAAAAGAAAACUCUAAAAGGAUUUUUUUUUUUUAAUUACACUCUUCUAAGUGCAUUUGGUAACACUUAUUAUAAUUGACUAAGCAAAGUAUAUACAAUCUUUUUUUUUUUUUGCAAAUACCAAACACAUUCAGUAUUGCAUAUAAGAUGUCAUUCCAUAUUUUAUUGCAAAGGGACUGGAAACAUCUUUUUUUUUUUUUUUUCCAAAUUUCCUACAGCAGAAGAGUGCCUCUUUUCUCUCCUUUCCAAUGUAGGCAGAGUCUCGUUCCCCAGAGAAUGUAAAAGCAAAGAUAUCGUCAUGAAUAUGUUAUAAAUUCCACCUAAGGACAUGUUCCACUUCUAGAAAAGGAGUUAUAAUGAGAAGUGUUUCUUCAAAUAAAACUGUGUGUCACUUAAUUUUAGAGGUCCUCAGAGUUUUGAACAGCUGUAUGAACUAGGGAAGUGCUGAGGCAUAAAGCUUCAUUAAUGCCUCUUGGGUGUGGGCUUGUGUGAGGGGGACCUCACAGAUACCUGUGGGUGUGGAUGGGAAGAACAGUCACAAGAAAACAGCUGGCCCAGGAGAUGAAUCAAGUGGGCUGAGGAGGUUGUGAAAGCUCUGGACACUGGGGGUCCUGCUGAAUCUGCAAGAGGUGAGAAAUUUGGGAUACCCAGAGUCACUUGACAAUGAUCAAGGCCACCCCACACGCCAACUGCAUGGCUCAGGCCAGCUCCAUGAAGAUGGCAGCUGAUGCAUGCAGGUGAAGACGAUACACACACCCAGAAGCUGUUGCACGUCAGGAUGAUCCCCUGCUCCUAAGUAGAGUGCUGGGGCUGGUGCCUCCAUUCUCAUGCCCCAGCCAUGUAGCUGCACAUAGGGGUGUCGUCCAUGGGUGGGGGGAAAGUGAAAAGUGAGUGUGCUUGAAUUUCAUUAGUGAUAAAAGUUCCAUUAGUAAAAGUUAUUCUACAGCUAUUCAUUGUGAUCUGUCUCCCCUGACUCGAUCACUAGGAGGGACAGCAAAAGGGCAGUGCAUACCACACCCCCAUGGGUCCUUCAUUAUGUCCCAAUAAACUCCCCCACCAGGGUCCGUGUUCUUCCCUUGACACCAGGAAGGAGCCCCAGGAUCCUGUACAAAAUUGUUGGCAGAGCUAAGAACAAAAGCAGUUUAGAGGACCUUUAGUUUUAUGGCUUUUUCUUGCUGAAGAUAGAGGGGUGUGUAGGAAAGAGAAUUUACAAUGAGCAAAGACUAUCUUUUAAUUUCGGGACCAAAUUUAUACCUUGACACAAGGCUUACACAGCCAGAGAUCCAAUACUGAAUUGAAGUGCAAGUACAGGUGUUUACUAGCACUUAACUGUAUCCCACCAUGUACAGCAAAAAACAGAGCGCGCCAGCUCCAGGGGACUUACAAAAUAAAUAGACAAGACAGGGUGAUGCUGGCAGGGAAACCAUGGCAGGCAGGGAAAGAUUUGCUCAAGAUCACAAACAUGGAAGGUCCUUUGCAGAGCAAGUGCACUGACCCCAACCCCAGGGCCAUACUCUGUAAAAUGUACUUCACUGUCUCUGUAGCUUUAUGACAAAAAUAGGCUCACUAGGAUUCCUUCUUCAUUUCUGCCUUUUUGUCUGACUUUAUUUAAAACAAAAAAGGAGGAAUUUGAGUAUUUAAAAAAAUAUUUUAAAGUAGUCUUAGACACUGGAACUGGAGCCACCACUAGUUAUGGACCAGAACACAGCAUUACAGGCAUGGAAUAAUCCUCAAAAGUAUCUGAGUAAGAGCUAAAAGUGAAGAAAAGCAUUUAUGCACAGGACUUCUAUUUAUAAUGAAUGUGUUUUAAUGGGAAAGUGUAAAAAUGAAGAGGCGUGGUAGAAACCAUAACACCCAUAGAAAAUGUGUUGUAGGUUUGUUUUGAGUAACAGUUGUUGAUGGCUCAGUCAGGCUGGGCGCUGAGCUGCCUUGGUAAGAGGUUCCUUAAGUAAUGCUCAGAUAGAAACAUGAUCUUAGUAUCAACAUCUUUAAGGAUGUCCAGAAUUUGUACUCAAGAAUGUGCUUAAUGCUCUGCUUAUCGCUGUCUGGGUUAAUUGCCAGAAAAAAGAGGCUCAAAAUAUUUAGCUGCUCUGGACUGUCUGCAGCUCUCAUUCACCAGCAGACUCCAUGAGAGCAGUAGUUCUCAAGGAGUGCUCUCCCCAUGUGUUUCAGUAUUUUUCCUCUUCACACUUAGUUCUCCUUUCAUAGGCACGUGUCCCACUUCCAGACGCCUAGGCUCCUCCAGAGCCUGUUCUGUAAUUCAGUAAUCAUCUCCUUUGGCCUUAGCAAACUUGGCACUGGAAGUCAGGGCUCCUCAUCAUCCUUCAACCCCGAGCCAGCUCCAGCUGCUCCCAAACCAAGGUGUUGGUUCCCUAAUCCAGCCCCUCUUAAAAGACCUCACACUAGAGAUAUGGUGAGGGACUGUUCCUUCUUACCACUACACAAAUGCCAAAAUGUCUGGGCAUUGGGUGCAGGGAGAGGAAGAAAGAUGGGAGGGGGCAAACAAAGACUCGCUUGCUGCUCCUAUCCUUCCCCAGGUGGGUGCUACCUGUCGCCAGAAAGAUAUUUACUACUCCAAACGGAGUCAAAUCUGUAAAAAUGUGGUUUCCAGUAUGUGGUUAAAGGACACACUUUGCGCUUACUUGGAACAGAAAUAAUUUUUUGCUGGUAUUUAUAACAAAGUGGGAUGUAGCUGCACCUGGUCUUUCCUUGUCUAGCUCCUGCUUUCAUGUGGGCUUCUGUUAUACUAAAAAUGAUCCAGACAUGAUUACUGAAUGUCAGCCUGUUCAUCUGAGGAGUUUUAAUUUCUCAACCAAGACAAGAAGCCUGAAAACUGAUAUCCCAGAGGGAAAUUGGCUGAAAUGCUAUAAACUACAGACUGUGCUAAAAGAAAGCCACCUACAGAGAAAUAUAUCAGCACUGAACAUAUGUUUAAAAUUGACUUUUAAAAUAGAUGUAACUGGGGAUUAACUACUAUCACUGUACUGGCAACUCAGCACCAGUGUCUGCAAAGAGAGCAUAGGGAGUUUAAUCAACUCAUUCAUUCAUGUCAGAUCUUUGUAGCUUAUGGCAAAAAAAAAUUAAACUCUUCUGUGUGUCCCUAAAUGCCCCUGACAGCUGAGUAUGAUUUGAUCAAAACACCUCUUCUUCUGAGUGGAACUUCCUCUUCCUUUGAAAAUGAGAAGUUUUAAAGCAUUAGGCCUCCUCUAACUUAUUUCCAUUGCCUUUUAAAAAGAAAAGCUUAACUGAACUCAUUAGCUAAAUUAGUUUCUGAUUUUGUUCUUGCAUGCUGAAAUAAAUCAAUCCAUACAAUGAAAUUAAAAUGACAGCAUUAAACAUUGAUACUCUUAAAUAUUGAUGUUCCAGCUGAAUAGGAUUUAUGUUCAGUGCUUUAUUACUUACUAGACUCUCCAUUGGUGAACAAAGCAUUUAUUACAGACUGCACCUACUCAAUCAGCUGCGUGGGACUUUUGACACUCGUCAGAAAACACCCACAGAAUCACUGAUAAUUCCUUUUGCAUGAGCAUUGACUAUUCAGAGAAAGACAAUUGGGUCAGGUUUCGUGGCAGAAGAACGUUCAUUUUAAGUGGGAUUUGCAAAGGCAUGUAAAGUCAUCUAAGUCUCCUGCAGCAGUCAAUGGGGGUCUGACAAUCCAGUUCACAGGGAAAGAAAAAAAAAAGGAGAUUUGGAGGAAAUGCUGUUUGUGGUUAUGUGGGUUUAGCCUCCCCAGUCAUCAGGACAGCUAAUGAGCCCAGGUCUUGCAGCUGCAGGAGUUUUGGAGUUCAGCCGUGCAUGGCAGGAAUCACAUCAGAUGCAGGUGAGAGACUGGUGUAAUCCCCAUGGAUCCCUCCAGCUUGCCCAUGCUUAAACCACCAAUCCAGUUACACCAUAGACUGUAGAAAAAGGAUCAUAUUCAGCUGUGUAACAUAUUUUAGGGAAGUCAAUCCCUUGAAUGACUUUCUGUUGUAGUGAGGAAACCACCACAGUUUGCUCACUGUAGAGGUGGGGGUGGUAGGUACCUCUGAACAUAUGGAUACUUCAAAAUGUGUGUAUACGGCUUUACUAUUCUCAUCCAGAGGAAAGCAGAACAUUCAGCGUGAUUCUAUUACUUGUAAUACUAAAUACUGACCCCAAAAAUGCGUGACCAAGUGAGACAGACAUGCCAGCCUUUGAGAUAUAGCAUUUAGCAGUAAAGUGAUCAAAUUGCCAGGACAUCAGCCUGCACAGGUGGUAUAACAUCUCAAUCCCCAUGAUUAGUGUCUUACUGCAAGACAUACAAUAAUUUGUGCCUAAUACAUUCCUCUGCUUUUAUUAUGCUUGCCAACAUUGAUUGUGACUCACAGUAAAACAAAAGUAACACUUGACUUCCUUUGCAAGCUCCCACUCAUCAAUUAGAGACCAUAAAGCUUUGACAUUUCAAUGUGGAAAUCAGUGAGUUUCACUGCUGGCUUGUGUGGCUAAUGCACAUCCUUCAGCACAUAAUCGGCUCAGUGCUAAUAAGUUAGAAGGGCUUGGGUAUGGCCAGUCAUGCUCAGGCAGCAGCUUAUUCUAGAAAGCAGCUAUUUUUGGAAGAGCUGAACCAUGUAAAGACUUAACAGGUUAUCUCUCAAAUGAGUCUUAUUACUGCAAUUCCCAGAUGUCCAUGGAUGGGUGGUUGUGCAGAAUGGUGAGACGACCAUAGCAAAGCCAGUCGUGGUGAUUUGGGAAAUCUCUUCCUCUGUGUAACUCUUGCGUAGAGGCUGAGGUGGUGGAGCUGCUUUGCCAUUCUACUCAGUGUAGGCUGAAUUUGCCAUAGGCUGUCAGGAUUGCAUAUACAUCCUGAGCAGGGGUGAUGGAGCGUGGUUAAACCAUGAUGGCCACCCUUUCAAAGGAGACUUGGGCACAGCAAGUCAGGCAGAGUCCAGAUGAGAAACAUCUUUCUCAUGUCCUCUGCAAGGAGAGGAAAUAUGAAGGGUGAUAAAUAUGGCCUCAGGAGGACAAGAAGUACCUUAGACUUGCAAGGUGUAAGUUAAGACAAGAAGCAGGGGAACAGGAGCAGAGCGUAUGUUUUUGUAGCUGGGUGUAGAGCAUGGUUUAACUGAUCAGCAACCAAGAGUUCAGGACACCAGCUGCACAUAAGACAGAGAGACCCUCUACCUCCAAAGUGAAACCACGUGCCUGCCUGCCUGCUGCUGCAUAGGUGUUUUCUCAAGCCCCACAUCCAGUGAGCCUGGAUAUGCUUGAGAGCACUCACAGAGCAUCUCAGAGCAAAUCCAGGCCUUGGUAGUGACUUCUGGUGUGGGCACAGGGCUGACAGAGCUGCCUUGCUUUGCCUGGCAUGUACUGAGCCAGAACUUGUGUAUUCAUGUGGUGUUUUUGCUCUGCAGCAGCUGGCAGGAAGGCAGAGGAGAGUUUCUACACCUGUGGCAUGGGUGUAUGCAUACACCCUGUAGGUCUCUUUGCACAGCCCAGAACUAUGCCUUGCUUGUUUCCUGACAACCAGGACCAUCAUAAAGCCUUAAAAAAAAGUCUGUAUUUCUGUGCCCAUCCUUCAAGCAUUUCUUAUGCAUCCUGCUUUCCCUGGAGACCUAGCAGAGUGGGCCUUGGCACAGUGCUGCUGGCGGAGAGUGGGCUGGCAGGGCACAGAUCUGUGAAAUCAUGGUCCGUGUGCGUGCCUGGAGAAAGACAUGUUGAUCCCUCAACUGCGUGCAAGCCAGAACAUGGCUGUUUUCCAGGACACCACCUAAAAGCCAACAUCUGGCUAGCAAGGCUCUGGCACAGCAGAUACCACCCAAGCAAAAGGAGCAUGCUGGCUGGAGCCAGGUGUGAAGGCAUGGAAAUGUGGCUGACAGCCCGCCAUAGCCUUCAGGCCUCGGGGGUGUAACCACUGAGGUGAAACUGCUCUUUAUUCUUGCAGGAAUGAAACCUCUCAAGCAGCUUACAGGUUGCCUCUACAAGAGGAAUUGCAUAUUGUGGCACCGCUCUUUUCGUGUCAAUGCAACCAGGUGACAUCAGUGUAAUCCCAUGUAGGGAUGGGUUCCAGUCUCUGCCCCCAGGCUCUGGCUCUACUGCUCCAAGAGCAAAGACUCCACAUCAGCAUCAUGUUCUGGUUUUCCUGCCCUCUCCCCUUGUCGUACAGCAGCCUUUCCACUGGGCAGCUUGGUCACAGCCCUGGGGCAUGUCAGCAGCUUUCCUGUGCCGGAGGUGUUUGUGUAACAACACACACAAGAGCACCUCUCACCAGUUACAAAAGGGUGCACUCCUGUCUCCGCUUUCUCCUGCUGCAGUAGCUUCUCAUGCAAAUAGGAGUUUCAAGACUGGUAAAGCAAGACAAAACAGCAAGCACUGAACAAUGAUGGAGACAUACUGUCAGCCCAGGCAAAUAAGCAGACACAGUAAACGCCUUGCUGCUGUUUGCCCAAAAUACUUCAGUUGUGUCUCUGAAUGGGAUUCCUCAACGAUGCACUGCUGCAUAAGAAACCCUCCACUGCAGGAUCAAUGGGUAUUUCUUGAGCAAGGAAAAGUCCUCUCACUCAAAAUGAAGGAAGCUGCUGCCACUUAAAAAGCUUUUUGUUUCAUCAGGAGAAUUCUCCCUCAGCGCUGCCCUCCAGCUCCAGAGGCAUUUCAAUAAAAACUGAACUGCUGGCCAUGUUGUCCAAAGAAAGCAGAAUGGGAAGCCAUGAAUAAUGGAGCUGCUCAGGUUCCCCAGGAUAAGAUUUCAUUUGCAGUCUUUACCCUGCUGCUUGUUUUCCUUCAAUUGGAUGAAGGAGUCACUGACUUCAUUGGAAGUACAGAAAGAAAAAUCUUGCAGCCUGUCUUUUGUGCUAAAUGUAGAAGAGUUUUGUCUUUUCUCUUGUCAAAAUCUACUGUGGUGUACAAUCUCAGAUUUACAUCUUCCCUUGUCUUCUCUGUGUAAAGUCUGGAAUUUCAGUCUUUGUCCCAAGUUUCAUUAGUGCUCUUCCAAGCUUUUCAGCUCCUUCCCAGGCAGCUGCCAGCUGCCUCUUUUGCUGUCGUUGUUCUUCUUUACCCUACUUGUCCAAAAAUCCAUAAUGACUAGCCAAAUUUCUAAGAAGAUAUUUAAAAAGCUAGUGUUAAUAGUAUGUUUUUAUUUCACAUUACCUUCACUCAGCAGUGGAGAAAUCCAAAGUAUAAAGACAUGCUUUACAGAACAGCUACGAGUAAUUGGUGCUGUACAGAGAUUUUUUGAAUGAAUCCAUGCAAAAGUCACUUGGUUUCAAGUUUCACUAUAAAAUUUAUUAACUUAGGGGGAAAGUCUGUUCAGUUACAAGUUAGAAAUUUGGUUUAUUUUUUAUUUUUGUUUGCAGGCACCUGACAAGGCUCAGCACUUUCACAUGGUUUUGACACGAAAUCAGGCAAAACUUUAAAGCCAAUAGGUUCAGAGCAGUUGCAGUUUGAGGUUUUGGAGCUGUAAAAAAGCCUAUACCAACUGCCAAGUAGAUUUCUGGAGGUGUGAAGUGUGCAAACUGAAACAAGAGAAGUCUCUGCUGCACCUGCAAGCUGAUGGCAAGCUGUGCUGCGGUGCUUUGCUGGCUGCUUGGCCUCGCUCCUGCCAGCCGAGGGGAAGGAGAGGAGGGUGAUGGCUCCAGCCUUGUCUGACACAGCAGUGAUGUGCUGGCAGGAGAGCAGAUGCUAGCAAACUUCACACCCACAGGCUACAGGGUGAUCUGCUGCUCAAACAUCUCAAGAGGCAUCCUAGGGGCCAAAAACCCUGGACAACCCCAGCAUCUUGGUGCUCAUUUUGGAGCAGGGGUAAAGCCGUAAGACAGGCUGGGAUCUGCAGUCCCUUCCAGUGCUCCCAUCUGGCUGCAUGUGCCCUGAAAUGAAGUGUGGAAGAGUUAGUAUUGUUUUUACUCCACACCUCCUUGUCCUUGUGCUGACACAUGGUCCCAGUGCACCUGUGGCACCUUCCUGGGGCUGGGGGGCUGUGCGAGAAGGACCGGGGAGCAUGACCGAAGGGACAGUCCUGCCCCACCCCUGUUUGGUUUCCCAUGGACUCUCCAUGCUCCAUGUGACACAGAUUCCUGCUCUGGGUGCAGCCAAGAUGCAGCUGAGAUGUUCAGCACUUCAGCUUCAAGAGUUAUGUUCAGCUGUUGGUGGGGCCUUUGUGCAACUGGAAGGUGCUUGGGAAGACUUUAGGUAGCAAGAGAAGCUGUGACACUUUCCAGCAUGAGCAAUGGCACUGCUAUUUCUUGCUGUAAGGUGAAAAACAGGAUUGAAAGCCUGAUUAAUCUGGGCUGUCUGCUCUUUCCUUGUUGCCUACGUCAGCCCUGAUGAUGAGCCCUAAUAUCCUGCAACAAAGCGCAGGGUUGUUCUCUACUUUGAUUGCUCACAGUGCGUGACACAACUGACCUAGCCCUGAUUGCACUAUUUAUUUGCUACUUUAACACAUGUCCAUAGAGAAAGAAAAAAAUUCUGACCGUAUUUAGACAGUGGCUGUGGAUGGAAUGUGAAAUGCUGGUUUCCCCUUAUGUAAGACAAAAUAACAUAAUAUAAUAUAAUGUAACAACAAAAUGUGGCAUAAAAAUGUAGCAUACUAAACAUAUAUAUACACUUAUAUUGUAUCAUAGCCUGUCUUUGUCCUGUGUUGCACUGGGAACAGAGUCACAGGGAAGAGAGUCUUUUUUCACUCUGAAUGCCAGCUAAGUGCUGGAUACCUGCAGUUUUUGUUCACUGUCACCAUCAAGUCUCCUAAAAACAGUGUGCUGUGCAGUGAGAAGUUAUCCAUGGCACUACAGUUCCCUCCCCAGGGCAUAGGAGAAAAAGGUUUUAUUUGUGAGCAAUUUGCUCUUCUUUUUCCCCUUGGAUUGCUACUGCUCAGAUUCAGCCAAACUUAAUUGUAUUUCUAAGGCUUCCUGGGCAAGGUGAGAAAGUUACUUCGGGUGAGUAUACGUGGGUCAAUCAGCUGUGUUUAAUUUAGGUGCAUAAUUUUGCCACUGUCAUUUUACUUGUUUAUCAGAAUAUGUUGGAGACAAAUGUUAACUCUACUGCAUAGCCAGCUCUCCAGCUGUGUGACAUGAGCACAGCAGAAUUGCUGCUUGAUCUUCAACUGCUGCUGGUUCUCCUCUUCCUCACCUACAGCCUGCUCAAGAGAAACAGAGGGAUGCUGAAAUCCUGAACUCCUGUGAAGCACCUGUAGCAGCUCCUGCCUACCUUUCAAGUACAUAUCUAGACCAGGAGGACUCUGUGGUUGCUUGUGUUUGUGCUUAAGGAAAGAAAUUUUAACCUGGAAAUCUGCCAGAGAGGCACUGCUACAUAAGUGGGAAGAAACACUGAGGAGAAACAUGUAAUGGGGGAAAGAAAGGUAAUGAAAAUGUGAAGGAGAAAUGAGGAAUAAAAAGGAAAAGCAAAACAGAACAAAUUAGCUGUACUAUGAGGCAAAUUUCUGUCUUUGUUUUAACAGUGCUCACUCUAGUCCCAGUGUCACUUCUCAGUUCUCAGGUGAUCUCUUGCAUAUAAGUGGGCUGUAAAUUGUAACAGUAAAAAAACCCCAAACCAAAUGGCAUUAGCCUCUUUUGUUUGUGAGGGAUGGUGUGAAAGAUCAGUCCUGCAGCCAGAAUAUCUCUCCAUCCAGCGUCUGGUCCCAGCUGAGAUAUGUCUGUAGGUGGAGUAGGCAAAAGGGCUGACAAUUUUUCUGUGUGCAAGAUCUGAGUAAAUACACUUUCCCUUUUUCAUUUUGAGAGAUUUCAAGGCCCCCCAAUGUAGUGUUUCUGCUAUGCGGUAUCAGGAAGAUGUUUAUCUGUUAUGGUUUCGGGACAUGUGCAAACGAUAUGUUUGGCUCCAAGUUUCAAGCCUGAGCAGGACUAGAAGUGGUAUGUGGGCCUGAAACGCUCUCUGUGGGGCAGGGAAUUCUGGGCUUCACCUUUGUUCAUCACUGCACAGCAGCCUCAGAGGAAGCUGGACUGGGCCGGAUUCCUCAAAGGUGGGUGACUUUCAUGUUUUACAUAUUUUUAAAAAAAUGCCUAUGGGGUUGGACCGGUGCCACCUUCCAUGAAAAGCCCCCAGAAAACUUGCUUGGCUCAGCAGGGGAAGACCAUGCUGGAUAUUGUCAGUAUGUUAAAAUCCUCCUGAUGCGAAGGCGAGAGGGAGAACUCUCCUGAGAAAGCUGUUCCUUGUUUCAGCUAAGGAACUUGGUAAAUAGGCCCCUGAAUAAUUGCACCUCUGAGAAAGAAAAAAUGAGAAGUUUCAUCAAAAGAAAAACAAAGUUUGUUUGCAUGAGAAGAAAUACGUUCAGCUUUACUGAGACUGAGGUCUAGUCUGUGUGGCAUAUUGUUUGAAGACCUGUCAGAAGAGAUUAGUUGUUUCAUAUAGGAAUCAUAACUAGUGUCCUAUGCAUUAAAAAUACCUCUCUCACCUCCACAAUGGAAAUUUUUCUUUGGAUCAAGCUGACUUGCCCUGGAAUAACUCAGCCCAGGGCCCUCGCAUUACUCUGUCAGACAUGCAGCACAUCCUGCAAGGGGUAAAACCUGUCCCUGCCUCCUACCUCCAAAAAUAAUUAAACAAAAAUAACACCCUUUUUUAAAAGGAAGGAUUGAACCAAAGCAGCUCUUUGAAAUAUCUGCCAACUCAGACAUCAGCCCUUCAGACAAAUUACUGUGAAUGAGUGAGUGUGACUAGGUGGUGUGAUAGCUGGGGUAAUUUCCAUGAGUGAUACUCAUCAGGAAGAUAAUGCUGUUGAAAGUAAAGUUGACAGGGCAUUGACAUACCUGUAGACCAACCUUAAGGUGAUUCAACUCGGCCCCCCAUAAGCUCUUCCAUCCUUCCCCUCAGAGUCAGAAUUUUUUUUCCAAUGUAUAUGCCUGAUACCAUGUUAAUAUUGCAGACUUAGCAAAGUGAUAAAAGAAAUGCAACCUUGAAAUGUAAAUUAGAGCCAAGCAUAAACUAAUAAUAAGCUGGUCAUCCAACCACUGUGAUCCAGAUAUUAUUAGUAAUGCAUUGUACUUAUUUAUGGCAUGGAACAAAUACCUUCACUUUUUUCCCAGUGAAGUUGCUAUAAAAACUGCAGAUCUGUGCUGCUUGUAAUAAUCCAUCCCUUGUUCCCACAAGAUAGCUGGUGAGACCUUGGGUUUGCAGCCCUUCCUGGCCAUUCAGAAGCACAGUCUGUUACAGCUGCACCACAGCCAAAGGGCCUGUGGAUAUCUGUGUGCUAGUGUUCUUUGAAAUAAUUGGUUUACUAUGCAGAAAGGCUUGCACUAGGCAACAAGGUGAGAUUAGGUUCUGGCACAGGCUGGUUGGGUUCCUUGGCUCAGCAUCACUGCUCGAUGACACAGAACCACAUGUCAGUUCUCUCAGGCUGAGAGAUCUGGGGUUGUUCAGCCUGGAGAAAAGAAGGCUCUGGGAAGACUUUAUUGUGGCCUUUGAGUAUUUAAAAGAGGCCUAUGAGAAAAAUGGGGACAGACUUUUUAGAUGGGCAUGUUACCACAGGACAAGGGGUCAUAGGUUUAAACUAGAAGAGGGGAGAUUUAGGCUGGACAUGAGGAAGAAAUUUUUUACAAUGAGGGUGGUAUAACACUGGCCCAGGUUGCCCAGAGAGGUGGUAGAUGCCCCAUCCAUGGAAACAUUCAAGGCCAGGCUGCACAGGCUCUGAGCAACCUGAUCUAGUUGAAGAGGUCCCUGCUCAUUGCAGAGGUGUUGGACUAGGUGACCCUUGAAGCUGCCUUCUAACACAGUCUGUUCUAUGAUUCACAUGGGACUCAAGCACCAGCUUUUCUGCCUCCUGUGCUGCAAAGUUGCACUGAUCCCUCUGACAGAGAGAGAGGAAGCGUAAUGUCUGCACAAACUAAAAGUAUAAACAUGUAUUUCUAAAUUGCAUUAUGUUGUAUUCAUAGUUCUUUCUCCAUCUCUCCCUCAUGCUCUGUUUAGUAUGAUUUUGGUGUACUUUACUGUCCUUUCAUGCCAGCUUUCCAAACACAUCCAAUCAGUUUCAUAACUCUACAGGGGGAUAUCUAGUACAUCUGCCUGCCAGGAUAGAGCAGCAGCUUGUAAUAGGUUUACUUUUCUGCAAGCUGCAUUCUUCUGUGGCAGGCCAGAGGGUUUUUUGUCAGCUGCACACAGACUUUUGGGAGGGAUCUGGUGGGAUUUGUGCUGGAGAGCACCUGGGAAAGCAGAGUUCAGUUCAGGAGAGGAAUCGCACACAUCAGCUUCAGCAUCCCCAGGCCAACUGUCUGACGAGGAAUACGUUUCAUUUUUCAGCUGUUCACAUCCAGAACAAUUUUGGUUUUAGUCUUAGAAGUACCUUUCAGGUUUCUUCCUCUAAGAAUAAAAUUGCUAUAUAAUGUAUAAGAUCUUGAGAGGUAACACAAGAAAAUGCUCCUGUUGUCAUUUCCUCUGUCUGGUUGGGCUUUGUCUCAUGUUAAACAAGAGUAGAAAAACAACGUGAAAUUUAAAGCUUCAUUUCAAGUCAGUGGAAAGACUUUGAGGUGUUCUGGCACAGUGUUUGGAAGACUAGCUUUGUCCUUGGAGUUGGUUUAUGUUAUGGAUAUGCAAAAGAGUUCAUGGUUGUAAGUUUGAUGAUGCUUAAAGUGUGAUCCUGGUACACUGACGCCCCAAGCUGAUUGCUGACAGUCUGCAAAUACAGAUGAGCUCCAUGAAUUAAUAUCAUCCACUGUUCUGAGCAUGUGAAGAUCUGUUUUUCUAGUUAUGUACUUGGCAUACAGCACUCUUUAGGCCAGAAAAUGGGUUUAGAGCUGCAGUUUAGCUUUGCAAAUGCAGAUCGGGUCAUUUGUAUGUUUGACUGUUCGAUUCAUGCAUACAACUAUAUCAGCAAUCCAGCAUAAGCCUGUUUGAAAUGUGUCGCUGGCAGUCAACUGGGCAUUUCUAAUCAAGCCUGACUCUGAAGCUGCUUCCAGACUCCAAAAGGAUUACACUAUCACAAAUCACUGGGUACCAUUUCCAAAUGGCAUAACUGCUGAGCAGCAGCUGGAAGAAAUGCUGCCUGCUUCCUAAAUUUUAAAGAUUGAAAAGUCAUUUGUUUAAAUGAGAAUUAGCUCUUCAUCAUUUGGAAAAACAAAGUAUUGUAUAGCAACCUAAAUAUAUCAGAGGAACAGUGUGUUGACAUGAAGCAAGGCAGAAAAUGCUAAGAAUCUGAGAAGCCUUACAUGCUGUUUUCACCUUUGUACAGAUUUUCCUGUGUGUCCUAGAAUAAGACUAGUCCCUCUGGUUUGCCAUCUAUGAAAUGCCUAUGAUGUUAUAAUUUUACCUUCUUCUGAGGACUGUUGGAAGGCUUUAUACUUUAUUGUUUGCAAAAUAUUUUGAGAUUCCCAAUGGAAUGUGUUCCAUCCAUGUAAAAUAUACGUUAUUCAUCCCCUUUUAAAAAUUGAGUUCUGACUUAAGGAGCAAAAGAUUAUCUUGCAAGAAAAGUGCAGCUAAAAUAAACAAACUAAUACUUAUGCUUUUCACAAGACCAAAAGCCUGAGGUACUUUAUUAUUUUCAGAUUUUGCUGGGUUUUCAUUUAAGGUCCAGUUAAUUCAGAUUCCUCAGAAAUCAGUCUACAAUCAACUCUGGCUGAGAUAGGUACACUGGAUAUAGAUACACCAGUGGGGAUAUAGGCCUGAUCAAUUUGGUAUUUGACGUAUCUGGAAGCACGUUAGCCCAGAUUAAUGCAUUCAUCUGGCUGAAACCAGCUCUUUGCAGGGCCAGCCAGGGUAUCUCUGCACAAUAAUCUCACUGUGCUCUGCAAACUGAUUUUGCAUGGAGUCAGCUCAGGUCUGGAAGGAUUUAUUCAUCGUCACUCGGCCUUGACUCUGUGUGCUCUAAGCUAGUUACUGCCCUCUCCCAUGCAUCACUCUCGGGGAGGCUUAUCAGCCCCAGUACAGUGCAGAGCUCACUCUGCCGGGGCUGUAACGCAGAGACUCUCCAGUAUUGCUGCUGGAAACAGUCUGUAUCUGCUGGGGUUACUGCUCCUGGCUCCCUGCUGGUUUUGCUGGAUGGGUGCUCCCUCAGGGUCGCUCUCACAGGGUGUCUCCUCCUGCGCUUUACAGCUGGGAUGUACCAUCCCCAGACACCGGCUUGUGGAGAGCUGACACCAUUGUCCUAAAUUGCAGGAGAUCAAAUUCUCGGCUGCUGUAAACUGAGGCAGCGUCUCUGACACCAGCACAAACUGCAACAGUUUGCACCAGACAGGGACUAGCACGGUGUCUAGAUCUCACAAGACCUUCAGUAAAUUUUCACUGAUCCUGGAAAGAAAAAAAUUGUUAGUAAGAGACAAGCUAGUUAUUUGUUUUCUUAUCUGUAAUGACUAUGCUGGAAAAGAGGACAAAGCUGUGACAAGCAGCUCUAAAAUAAUUUAUAGAUUACUGACUGGGAAGUUCAUCAUGCCACAGGUCUCACUGAACUUGGCAGCAUUACAGGUUUAUCUUUUCACACCCAGCCGUAUUUUAAUGGCCUUACAGACAGGCUGUACUGGCCCAGUUCUUUCACUCCCAGAUGCUGGCCUUCAUUGGAUAUUCAGAUGCUCUUCUUUGCAGGGGACCAAGACUCAUGGAACAGAGGGUUCGUAUCUCUCCUGGAGAUGUUGCCCUCCUAGCACCAAAUCCUGGUUUUCAUCUGAGAGGCAACUCACUCCUUCCUCCUAAAAAUGAUUUAAAUUAUAGUUGCAGGUAGAGUUGCAAACUUGGAGGCAGGUCCACUGGUAGAUUUGGAUUCAUUUGCAGCCCUUUAGCAAAUCAAGAGAGUGAUACACCAAUUUUAUUUAUCGAAGGGAACCAGAGAAACAUUGUCCUAAUCUAUUUAAUUAUUAUAUAGAGAAUGCAGUCCAUUAGUUUUCAUCCUAUGGACUGUCCUGAGUACCCUUGAGAGCUUUCCAGGGGAUAUUUGUCAGGGAAGUUGCACAGAAAGAAUUCAGUCAAGUUGCAAGGGAUGAAUAAAAAGAACAACAAGAAAGGUCAAGUUCCAAAAUUCAGCUUGCAAGAGAAAUGAAAGCCAAGGACAAAAAAUUCUGUAAGCUGUGUGGUGGCUGAGUGGCAGGAGAAGUUUGGUUCAUCACCCAACAAUUAGCUAGUUUGCAGCAGAGAGCACCAAGAAUGGAGCAAACAACUAAAAUAUCCAUCAGUCUACACUAAUUGUGAUCUGAGGAUGAAUAAAACCAAUACCAGAAAAAAGUGGAAGCACUCGUGUCUAAAAACAAAAGAGUGAGCCUAGCUAAAUUAGCUGCUUUGAGAUUGUCCUGCCCUGACGAUGUUCACCUCUGGGCACUUAGGGUGCUGGAGGACACUGUGUUUCCACAACACCUUAGUCCAGCUUUGAAGCUGCCUGGUAGUAAAAUCUCUUGGGUACCCAUCUCUGCCUCCUCUGUUGCAGUUCAGCCUUCCCUUAGGUAUGCUCCACAAACUGGACUGCUGAUAUACCUUGGGUUGAAAUAAUAAUUCCAAAAUAGAAAGGGAGAAUGUAAUUUUCUAAUUUGAAAAAUUGCAGCUGGCCUCAACAAUAAUUGUACUUACAUAGGUGGGGACUUGGGGUAGGUAGUGGUUUCAGAGCAAGAAAAAGUGAUGAAGAGACAGGGGGUGGAAGGUAGGAAUUUCUCACACCACUUUCUGCCAAACUCAACACAGUAAGAUGCAAGGCAGUUUCGGAUGAAUUAACAUUUAUCAUUGAAAGGUUGCAGUGGACAAAAUAGAUUGCUGAAACUGGAAAGCAGCAAACUUGUUCCAUGUACUUUAAAAGGGAAAAUGAAGCUCAAUAAGCUUUAGAUCUACCAGCCCAAAUUUAAUUCCUGGAGAUAACAGAGUAACAAACUAUCUAUAAGCACUAAGAAGACAAAACUGAUAUGGAUUUCUCAAGAACAAAACCUACCGAAGUGACCUUAUUUUCAUCCCAGACAGCACCAAAAGUCUGAUGGAAAAGAGAAAAUCAUAAGAUGUCAGAUAACAUGAGUGUAGUUUUGACCCUGUAUUUCCCCCGGCAGUUUUAAAAGCAGGCUAUAGGAACGUGUUCUUGGAGCAACUGGAAAGUUUCUGCCCAAAUUAUUGAAACACAGCUCUCAAUAAUUAAUUAUCAGAGGUUUAGUGUCAAGUCAAAAAAGUGUACCAAAUGGGAGUCCAGAGGUCUGUCCAAGGUCCACAAGGGCACAUCAGAAUUUUUUACAGUGCUUGAGAUACUGUGAAAAAGAGAAGUUGUACUAAUGGAUAGCUGGUGUGGUGCCAGGAGGAUUGCAAGCCCUUUGAAGGCAAACUCUGGACUUCAGUACGAGCAUAACAAAUGGGAGAAAUGGUUUGGAAAAGCAGGAAGUAAUUCUAUAAGAAGUGCAGGGUCAAAUGAGCAUGUGUGUGUCAGCAAUGGUUUACACAUGGGUGAGUUGACUUGGGCCAACAUGGAUGGCCAGGUGACAUACCAGGGUCUCACACAGCUUUUUGUUUUCAGUAAGAAGAUAUUUUAAGAUGGAAUAAAAAUAAGGAAGUUCAGUGCUUGCCUGAGCUGUGUCUGGUCCUAGUAACUGCCAUCAAUCUCUUGUAGUACACUUAGUAAUACUGCCUAAGUAGAGUACAUUUUAAAAGAGACAAUGAAGUGAAUCCUGCACCAUUUGAAAGUCACUUGAUUUUUGCCAUGUAAAUCCAUGCAAAAUUUGGCUCAAAGCACUUAGCAUGGAUUAACUUCAACUGCAUUAGACGGCAGAAAAUCCAAGUAUAAAGAACAAAAGAUACAGUGUUUUUGAGCUCAAUAUUUUUGCUCAACAUUUUCAAGCAAAACAUGAAAGAAUUAUGAAAUUAUUUAAGUUAUAUAAAGUGCAGUUCCCUGUCAUGAGUAUGAUUUUUCCGCACCAACGCUAUACCUUGGAAUAGAUUGAGGAAGUGAAGUCAGAGAAAAAAAUUGACCAAGCUUUCUCCCCUACUGCAUCUACAAUAUAUAAAAGACUAUUUCAAUGAUUAUGCGUUGUGGAAGGACACAGAUGUGCACAGCUGAGCCUGGAAAGAAGAGGAGGGUGUGCCAGAAGCCAUACAGACACUUCCCAGGGAUGGUCCUGUCCAUAGCAUCUUCAAAGUUGAUGUGGAAGACAGGGCCAAGCUGACAGGUAUGACAAUGAGCCUGCCUGAGGGCAAGGUUCAAAAUAUUAGCCAGGUCUCCUGAACCUUUGUUUACUGCUUCAUCCAUUGAUCACAGAAUCAUUUUUGUUGGAAGAGACCCUCAAGAUCAUCAAGUCCAACCAUUAACCUAAAUUUGGCACUAAACCAUGUCCCUAAGAACCUUAUCUGUACCUCUUUUAAACACCUCCAGGGAUGGUGACUCAACCACUUCCCUGGGCAGCCUGUUCCAUUGCCUGAUGAAUUGCUUUGGACUAACGGGACCAGCAUUUAUUUAGGUGCACACUUGGCAGAUAGGUUUCUGCAGCAUUGAAAUCUCUGCUAACUGGUGCUAUAGGUGGCAAUAAUUACAGAAACACCCAUAAAAAGUAUCAUGUGGCAAUAGUGCUCAUCCACUCACAAAAUAAGGGGGCAUGGCUCACACUCCACUGUUGCAGGCUUACUGGUCCAGCAGCUCACUGGGGUGUAUAGGGCCAGUUCAGGGCCUAUGGGGCUUCAGGAUGCCAAGUCCUUCAUGGGCACUGGACUCACUUGCAGACAGUUUCUGAUACCCUGCAUUUCCCUGGCUUAAUUCUAGCUUGUAGAAUCAAACGCCACGUAACAAAUUGCAUUGUCAAAGCAGACUGAAAAGAAAUGAAUCAUUCCAGCCUUAUUCAGUUAAUCCAGAAUAAAUAAUGUGAUAUUUCUCAGUCCAUUGCACAUGGAACAGACUAUGCCAUUUGAUUUCUUCUCCCUAAUUGAGAAAAAAUGGUCAGUUAAUGCAGCUGUGGGGGAAAUGGAGAGGUCUGGCACUUCCAGGGCUGCAGAGGAAGGUCUCGGAAAACUCAUUUGCUUGGUGAUGUGUCAGAAAGCAUCCUUCCCCUUUUGAGUAUAGCAAAAAAGGAACAUUUAUAAGCAGACCUUACACAUUUUGUAUGUUAUGCUGAUUGACUGCAGCAAAACAGAGCAGCCUAGGUGUCAAAGCAGACCACUUAAUCCAUGGGGUUAAUUAGUCCCCUGCAGCCACGAAUGGCCACAGGUGCUGCAUUGUUCUUUUCAUUGUUCUGAGAAAGGAAUUGUGCACAUCACUUGCAAAGGAAUAUAAGAGUUUUGUAUUUUCCUUCACCACUGACUGCAAUAAAAAAGAAAAAUAUAGCCUGGUUACAAAUGCCUAUGGGGCUAGAAGUGUUGGCUGCCUUCAGUGGACUAUUCUGCCUGCUAAAAGUCUGCUCCUUUCCUGAUUGCCGGUGGCUAUCAAUGCUUUCAAAACAGAUUUCUUUCUCAGGGCCCAGUGUGGCAGAUUCACUCGACCUCUCCCAGCCAAAUAUCCAGUCACAGUAGCCGUUUGCACUGCCUCCUUUUCCUGGGGUGGUGUUUGGAAGCAAGAGCCGGGGGAGCUGCUGGUGCUCCUGCCCCACUCCUCACUGCUGGGUCACCGCCUCAGGGAGAGCUGCCCAGGGGGAUGUCCAUUAGUUCUGUCCAAAUAACAUCUCACACGGACCUGAGAACUGACUUUCCACUUAUAAUGGACAACGAUUGCACAUUUCUUCUACCUUCAAGGUGAGAACCAUAUACUACACCUUCUCUGCAGCUACUUUUAUACUGUGCCUUGCUGCAGAGCAAGCAAAUGGUGGACUAAGAUUAAAGGUGGAACUUGCCAGAUGCACAUGCCUUUAUAAGAGAAAAGGCAUUGUCACGCUGUUAUUCCACAAUUCUUCUCAAUUAGAAAUAGUUCUGUGAUAGAAAUGAGAUCUACAGCCUUUACUUUCCCACUGUUUACCAAGGUAGAAUUGUAACAAGUCCAGGAUAUUAGCUCUGUGGUCCUGUAGUUUCAAGAAAUAAAAGAUAAGGAACAACAUGGCUGAAACACAUUGUUUUUAUAGUGAACCAGAUUAUUGAUGAAAACAAAAGUUGGUAGAACUCAGGAAGAGCUUUUAGCUACUGAUAGAUAUAAAUCUCUGGGAAAUGGAGUAUUAUAAAUGUACAGUGUGAGUGUGCUGAAGACAGAAAUAUGGAAUAAAUCCCGUGCUGAUAUUAUACUCAUCCACAGUUUAAUAUCCCAGUGUCCUCAGUGCCUAUGUUUACACAACUAGCAAAACCACUUUAAAAGCCAUUCAUACUGAGAAGGAAUGUACAUCUGUAGGUUAUCUGUCACCAGGGCACCCUGUCCGUCAUGUUCCUUGGUUCUGGGUUUUGCUGAGCUGCAGUUCACGCAAGGGGAAAGACAGGAGAAGGAGAGUUUCAGCCUGCUUCAAGUUCCCAGAACUCAGGCUGAUCUGAUCCUUACCUUAAAAUAGCCUGUGGCCACCUCCAGCUUGUGCCAGCCCUCUCACUGGCCUGUUUUGGAAGGAGGGCUUUGAUUGUGUCAACAGGUCUGGAGCCAGUGCUCUUCUUCCCCAUAGCACACUGUGAAUGUUUUCCAUGGCAGCAGUCUAAAGUCUGGAAAAAUUUAGGGUUUUCAACAGCCAGUAGUAUAAAUAUGCUCAUCACAGUGAGAUCAGUACAAGUAAAGAACGUGGCUCAUAUAAACCAGAACUACUGGGUUUCAGCUGCUCUACUCCUUUCACAUUUUCUGAAUGUUGAAGGGUGUAUUUUAAGUAGGGUCCAUGGUGCAUCAGCUGCAGUGUAACAGCGUGUGUGUGUGCCUGGCCAUUACCAGCCCACUGUGUACCACUGGGCACAGUGGUGUGCACUGGUACAGCCUCAGUACCAGGUGCUCAGCACAGGUGGAAAUGUGCCCAUUUGAAAUGAAUUCCUUGACUUUGAAGCACAGGCUGUGUGCUUCACAGUGCACACAGAUAAGUGAAUUAGCUUUGCCUAUGUCUCUGGCAGAGGGGGAUGAUUGUCCCAUGUCAGCUUUUAAUAUCGCUAUAUUAUGCCUGACUUCUAUUAUGUCUAAAACCCUCAAAUCUCUUUAUGUUCCACUACUUCCCCCAAAUUUUUGAUAUUCUGAUAUCUGCUGGGCUUGCCACCCAUUGUCUGCAACUGUCUUCACAAAACAAGGUCCUGCCUCAGGAGGCAUUUCUGUGCUUUGCAGGGCAGGUAUGGGCUGUGAUGGAGUGUGGUGGGUGAUGGGGCUGCUCUGCUGACAACUCCUUCCAUUCAGGACCUUCAGCUGAGCAGGAUGGUGCUCGAGCCCUCAUGGGCACCUGCAAGGGAAACCAGGCUGACUGGUUCUGUCAGCAUCACUGCUUGCCAGGCAAAGGCCAUUUUGACACUUUUUUUUCAUAAAAUCAUAGCAAUCUUAAAAAAAAAAGUUCCCAUUAAAACAAUAGUUUUUUAAAUAAAAAAUUAUUUAAAGAAAAAAAAAUAAUUUUAGCUUCAAACCAUUUGUAUGUUACUGUGGCUUCUCACAUUCCAGCCAAAUGGAAGGCUUUGUUUAUUAGUUUUGCUACUUCCUAUAUUACUUUGUGAUAGAAAAAUUGCCAGUGCAUAAUACAACAUUCUCAUAUGACAUAGUAGCUUAGACAAAAUACCUGGCCAAUAUAAUGCUGACUCUAAUUAUUUAAAAAAUCAUUAUAAUCAGCUACCACUUAACAUGGAUUAAAAUGACUUACUUUUCAUAACAUAGUGUUUUGCAACUCAUAGAGACAACUUAGAAAAUCUAUGACAAUUUAACUAAUAAAAUAAGAAUGCCUUGUUUUCAUUCUUUCUUCAAAAAGGUUGUUUAGCUUUAGCAACCACAAAACAUUUAAUAUAGAAAAGAAAAUAAAAUGUUCCCCUCAGAACCAAGCAGAAGUUGUCCAUAAUGACAAAAAAAUGUGCCUGACCCUCAUCUCCUUCACAAGCCCCAGCUUGUGAUGCCUAUGAGAUUUCCAGCAUGAGUCUUGCCUCUGGGUCUUCCCCGAUGCCAAAUAGGAUCAGCCCUCAGAUCUUAUUUACUUGCAUUUCAAGCUGAAGGCCACUAUAAACACCUAAUUUAGAAAGUGGGGAGGGUUCAGCGGGUACAUCCAAGGGAUGAGGCUUUAAAAGAAUUUGGCAAGGCUCUUGAGUGUAUUUUGUUAAUAAGUAAAAAAUGGAGAUGAAGGUGAAAUAGAAAGUGAAUGCUGGACAUCUGCUCUUGGCAGGAAAAACAGACCCAGCAAAAAAACACAAAGGCAGUUCACACUCAUCUUUGAAAAGCUAUUCUCUUAAAAACCCUACAUCUGAUAAAACAUUUAUUGAGUCAGUUCAGGAAGGUAAUGUGUGAAAUGUGACCCUUUUCUUCAAAAUUAAACUAUUUAAUAAUUGACUAGAAAAAAUACAGGGGUGAUCUUUGAGAACUACAUUCACAUCUAUAAUUAAGGAUGAUAUUAUUUUGGCUUAAUACUGGACUUGUAUGUACAUGUGCAAGCGUUUAUUUAUAUGGCAUCAGCAUAAAGGUAGAAGAAGACAACACAUGGCUCACAAGGCAUGUUAUAUUUUGUGCACAAAACCUGAUGAAAAUAUAAACAUAAUCUUGGUCAGACCUAAGUAAUAUAACAAAUAGUGAAGGGGAAAACAGAGCUGGUCAUGAAGUUGGGUUCAGAACACUCUACAGUACAGGUCACUUUAAGAAAGGUUAGAAGCGAUGCUGUGUCAGGAAUCAAGGCUUUCAGCUCACCAAGGAAGCACACUCUAGGAAACAGGCAUGACAAGGGAAGAUAAAUUAUGUAGCAAUCUUUCUUUGGAUAUGAAAGAGAAAGGAGAAAAUAUCACCAAGCUUGUAUUAUUUGCAUGGCAUUUAAUGUCUUAAAGACAACUGGUGAACCCCAGGAGAAUCAAAGAGGAAGCCACAUUUUUAUUAAAAAAAGGUUUCAUUUUGUAUCAAUUAACUAAUCAAUAGUGAUUUUGUGUGCUGAGGAAGAAUUCAUGGUUUAGAUAUAGAAUUAUAAUAGGUUUAUGGUUUGAUGGUUGUAAACAUUCUGAUUUCUCACUUCUUUUUGCCCAAACCAUUAAAAAAAUUAUUAGGUACAGCCCAGAUUCAAUCAAAAGGCCACUAAUUCAGAUGUCUUUUCUUCACCAGGCAGUGUCUGGCUGUAGCUUCCACUGUUGUAUAAUUCUCGCUAUUCUUUGAUAGUAAUCAGCAAUCUUACAAAAAAGUAUAUUGUGAAAAACCAAGAAAAUCUGCAAAGGAAUAAGAGCUGUAGGCUCAAUAUUAUGUGUUCCCGGCAUGACAAUUACUUCAUCCUGUCUCAUGCUUGCAAGUAAUGAGCACCAAUUCUGCCCAUGCAGAAACACUGAGAUUUUCUCAGGAAAAUUCUCUCCUCAGUGCUCCAGUUUUGCUUUGUACCUCCUUUUUGCUUUGCCCGUACCCUACCUUAAGCCUGUGGGAUCAGCUGUGUCAGCAGAGACCAAAAGCUCCCCAGACCUGCAACCCUGACUCUGUCAGUGGCCAGCGAGGGCUGUGUAAGGAAGCACGGCAGCAAAGGGACAGGAAAGGGGUACAGCCACCCCUCCGUGUGAUCUGCUGUCACCUCUCCAUCACCAGAGGUUCCAGCCAGUCUUGUUGAGUUGACUGUGGCCCUGAUGAAUGUCCUUCUUUGACUUCAUGUAAUUACUUUUAAGAUCUGAAAACAGCCCGUGGCCAUUGCUGUAUGCUCAAAAAUAAACUGAGAGAGGAGACAUUUUAUUCACAUUUCUUCCUGGGGGAACAAGGAGGAGUGCUUGAAUAUUUCUCAACUUCAUAAAUAAAUGAGCAAAAUCUAAACUGCAGAUUUAUUCCUCAAGCAGCUUUUCGAGGCAGAGAGAUGAUUUGCAAGUAAAGCUUUAAUAAAAACUUGCAGCCAUCCCUACUAUAGCAAUGUAAUUGUGAGUGUUCACUCUACCAUAAUCUGAUGGAUUUUUCUGAAUUUAAGAUCACUAUUCCACCUCAGAUGGGACAGGGUAUUUUGUAUGCUUUGCCUCUUUGUCUGAGGUUCUUAACACACAGUAGCACAGUACAGUAAAGAGCAGAUGUUAAAGCCCAUUAACCUGCUGAUCACUGUGAACUGUUUUGUGUAUUCCUUGUUAUCAUAAACUAUACUGAAACUGAAAGCAGAAAAAUCAAAAUAAGUAACAUGUCAAAGUUUUGCAGAGAUAUAAAGGGCAAAAGGGCUAAUGAGGUCUAGUUUAUUUUGAGUAGUCUGCGCUGCUUUGAAAAAAUCCCGAGUAAAUGAUUCAGCAGGGUUAUCUGAGGAAACUGGCCACCAGAAGAAGACAUGUCUUGUUCAGUCUUUACAGUUUGUGUUCUGCCUGUCUCUGUCCUUCACUAUAAUCCAGUUAGACAAAUAUAAUACGGACAGAUAAAGACAUUAAGCUAAAUGGUGAUUUAAAGGGACCAUGCAAGAAGAUCAGAGAGAGCUGGCCACAAGAAUAUGCCCAUGAUGUUUUUAUCAAAGUGAGGCAUCAUAGUGGAGCAGGCACUCAAAGUGUUAAUAUCCUCCAUGUAGGCUCAAAAUUCGAGUUGGGAUGUUUCAGUUUUUUCCAUUUGGCCACAGACUUCAGCGCUCCACUUGCACUGGGCCCAGGGCAGUGACGUUUCCUCUACAGAGGAACUUACCACACACCUGAACCUAUGGGGCAGCAGGACAUCCCUUCAAAGCCUGCACAGCCUGUCAGCUCUACUACCCUUUCCCCAAGGGAGUCAAGAGCUCUGUAGCUGGAGGCACUACCACACAAUCAAAGGGAUUUGGUGACACUAUGCAAGAGUUUGCAAAAAGUUUUCAAGCCCUGUGCCUAGAACCUGAGGCCAAAGAACUUGUGCUUGAUUUUGCCUGUGAAAUUUGGGAUUUAAAGAGAUAAGCAUGCUGUAUCAGAUUAUGACAAAGAGGUAGAAAAGUUCAGCUGAAGCAUCACAUAGGCUUUGAGCAGAUCUUCCUUAGUAAGGUGCCGUUUGUGGAUCACUUUAAUUAAAUGGGCUGCUACACAGAAGCAGGUAUAUUUUAGUGCAGGCAGGUUCAUAGUGUUAAUAUAAAGACAAGUAUGUCAGAGUGAGCAGGCCACUGCACAUUGGGGCUAAAUUCGUCCACAAGACUGGGUGAGUUGUAUGCAGGCAAGAGGUUAAUGUCAGUGCUGUCCUUAGGAAAGACUGACUCUUAAAAUAUCACAUCUGAAUAUAUGCUCUUGUCAAGCUACAAAAAUUGUCAGGCUCCUUGCCAAGAGGAAUUGGGUUGCAGAUGCUGCUGUGGCUUCAGUUCCUUGGUGCUCCUGCAGGAUGAUCUACACACAUAUACAUUUCCAAAUCCAGGACAGUAUUUAUAUCUCUACACCACAGUGGGUGCCAAGGCACUCUCUCCAGCAAUUGUAGACCCUCUGGAUGAACCUGACAUGGUUUCCAUGAGGCUCAAACAUCCAGGAGGAUGAUUUCCGAUUAAUAAAAUCUGUAGCUUGCUCUCCUAUCUCCUCUGUGCAGAAGCCUGCAAAGGUGUUUCUGGGCACUCGUUCUGCAAGGCUUCAGACUCCCUGCACUGUGUUUGUAAGUUAUUUUUGUGUGCUUUGAAGAUUAAACUUAUAGUAUGUAACUUCAGGCAGUCAGCUGAGGCACUUGAGACAGCAGCAACAUCCACCUUGGGCUUCCUCUGCAGCGAGGAGAGAGGCUGAUUCGGAUCCUAUUUACAAAAGCAUCCUAUUUGCACGAGGGAAAACGUGUGUGUUUCUGUGGGUGUGCAAAAUGAUGUCUGUAAGUGUACUCACGUCCUUACAGUUUUACAGGACAAUUUGAUACUGUCUGAAAAUGCAGCCUGAGGUAUUUAAAAGUAAAGAGCAUAAUCUAUGAAGAGGAAUACAGUACACUGCUAAAAAUGUUAUAUGUCUGAUCUGGGAAUACUUAUGGUUUAAGUGGGCUAUAAAUGAAUACUUAACUGCUUUAGUGCUGUGAAGUGAUGACCCUUACAUGGCCUUGAGACAUGCUGCACAGUCUCCUUUAGCUGCCACUCCACUGAAAAUAAUGGGAGCGUGCAUAACAGAGCCAGCCUGGAGGGCAAGACUGCCUCCAGGAACUACCAGACUGUCCUCUGCCUAGUAUAAUGCUCUAAUGUUUCUAAAACAGUGUAAUUCUACUAGCCUAGAUGCAACAAAUGUUAUUUAAGAAUUCCAAAUCAAAAGCACAUGUAGGCUGAGCCCCACAUUUUAGUACCUGGAAUAGUACUGCUGUUGCUAUACAAAUCAUAAAUCAUUUUUGUAAGAAAGAGAUAAAUAUCAAUCACUUAGUACAUAAAUCAUUUCAGGGUAGUAUGGUUGUGUGGCAGAAAAAAUGUAUUUAAUAUAAAUUUUUAACCAAUAAAAGUGCAAAGUUUGGUUUAUUCCAAUUAAUGAUAUUUCUUAUUGUAAGCUAUUUGGACAAUCCCUGCACAUUUGUUUUGUCCUUGUGAGCAUUGCUAGUUUUAGCAUGAAUGAUCAUUCAUCUAAGAAUUCAUGCCUGAAAUGAAAUGCUUCUCAUAAAUGUUUGUUACCCGGUCACAAGAGGGAAAGCACAGAGUGACUAUGCAGCUCCCCACACAGCACAAAUAGUGAGUAGUAAGAAGAAACAUUCAGCCAGUUUUGGAGACGAACUAAAUCAGUCCAAGGUAAUAUUAGACAUAAAGCUCCCUUCAUUCCUUUCACACUCGACCAGAAAAACAGUGUCAUCCCCAACUCAGCACCGCGCAGUUCUUCACAAACAGCAUCUCUGCCUCACCACUGAGCAUAAUGGAGCCAGUGGCAGGAUUAAACAUCAGACAGCCUCUUCUGCCCUAGGCUGGAGCAGUGCAUGGAAGAUGCACUUCAGGCUCUCCUGCCUGCGUUUCCCCAUGCUCGUUCUUCCCUCGACAUGUCAGGUGCCUCUGAUGUUGUCUUGCAUCUUCCACCCAGCACCAAAUGAACAGCAGCAAUUUCAAAUUCAGAAAUAAAAAAAAAUCAGGCCCUUUAACAAGCAUAAAAUGGGCAUAAUCAAGACUGAGUGUGUGCUCUAGCACUAUUUUCCAUCAAAGAAUACCUGUAGUGACACAUAUCUCCCUUCGCUUUUCAAGUCAGCAAAUCUAACACUCACAGUGUUCCCUAUCAUGAGAGGAUUCAGAAAUCUGGAUUCACAGCACCAUGCAUAAUGUAUUACACUACCAUUCAACUUCACAAGAAAAAGUGCAAAGUAGAGGUCAGUCUGCAGCCAUCAGACUGGAACAAUUGGGAGAAGUGUGUUUAUAACAUGAAUAUGCUCAGCUAAACUCAUAAGUGUUAGUGUAAUCAGCAUAAGGCAAUUAGUUCCUAAAGAAAAUCUUAAGACCAGCUAGAAUUUCCUCUGCAUCUUUCCUAACAGUUUAACUCCUUGUCCUGACAGAUUUUCUCCUUAUCUUUUAGUCUUCAUUUUCAGUCCUAGAGAUGUUCUCUUCCAUCUAGUGGGGAUCUCAUUAUUAAUAAUGCUGAAACAGUGCCUGCUCAUAACCUUUCCUAACACUGAUGUCCAAGUCCUGGAACAUUUGGUAUGAAGAACAUUUUGUUUAUCUGAUACAUUGAACCUAUCUUUUUUUUUCCCUCAAUAUAAAAUAAGUUUUCUGAAUUCUGUUGAGAAAAUUGUGCAUGUGUGCUAGUAUAGACUCGUGAUAGUAUAGACUCAGGCUAGCAUAGGCAAAAAAAUCCAAAGAAUGCUGUAAAGAAAGGUUCACAUGGGAAAAAAAGCCCUGAAUUUUGAAGUCCCUAGGUUUGGAGAAAAAAGACAUUUGUAUGUUGAAUGAGAAAUAAACAACAGCAGGAAUAAAUGAUUCAGGAUUUAAUUGCAGGAUUGGAAUUAUUGUUAAUUCUGCUACCCAAAAAAUAAACCUGUAAUUAAAGGUGAAUACGAUUCAUUGCUGUCAAUUACCAUCCCAAGCCACUGAGAAUGAAGGAAGGCAAGGCACAGCUCAUGCUGUGGUUGACACUCUGGCAGCCCUGUCCCCUGGCCCUGGCUGGAACUUCCCAUACCGUGUAAAUAAUGGUAUAAUCAAAUAACCUUUGUGAUGGGAGCUUUAAGGGUGAACAUUAUAAUUGGAGCUGCUUUCAAAACAGGUAGUUCUGCUCCUUUAGAGGUGUGGCUGGAGUGACUACUGACUUUUUUAAGUUCCUUUGCUGCUGUAUGAGGCUGCAUCAGUGCUCCCUUGUGGCACUACUGCCAUAAUUUUCAUUUUUUAACUUUAAUUUUUAUCUUUCAAAAAAAAAGAGUUUGUUCACUAAACCGAAGAAUGUGUCUUCCAGAUGAUUAGACUUCAAAUUAGGACAAUGGCAAAUGUGCACUACAUCCAAAAAGUGCUUCUGAUUUCAGUGAGUAAAUUGAACAGAAUACAGUUCUGUAGACGAAUUAACACUGACAAUAUACAAGAUAUUUAAUGUUCUGCUUCAGAAUUUCUGGAGUUUAGACACAGUCACAGGUCAUCCAAAACCACAGAGUGAGCAAGGACAGUAAUUUAGUCUAAGUGUUGAGAUCUGGGACCUCUUAUAUGUGUCCUGUGCUUGGAUAUUGGGACAACUUUUUGUCCCUCUAUAAUCCCUUGUAAUAUUUACCAAGUGAGCAAAUGACAGAAAACCUACAGUGAGUUUGUAAAGCUGGAUAUCUGAAAGAAUAAACAAUCCCGUAGCUGUACUCUGAAGCUAUGCAGGGACUGUCUAAUACCUGCAGCUCCACAGAUCCCUAUGCACGUUGUUAUUGACAAUAUUGUAUAUUGAUGGAAAUAACUGAGAUUAUAAACAUCAAAGCAUACUGAGCCACUUUAAAAAUCAGUUUCCAGUCUGGAAUAACACCGUGAUUGGAGAAUCUAUAUCCACAAGUAGUCAUACAAGAGAUAGAAGAUACAAUAUUUUGGAUGAUACAUUCCCUCUCCCUCUGCUUCAUCUCCAUGAAAAGAGGAUCUGAAAAAAAGGUGAUCAAUAAACUCACAGAAAUACAAUCAACAUUUCUCUUUUAUAUUAAGGUAUAGUGAAUGUCCCGUGAUUGGCCUUUAAGGCAUUUUGCAAAGGGCAGAAAGCAUAAAAAAACCUGUGCUAACUAAAUUUUGGUAGCUUUGAGCUUUGCUUUGUUAGAGAUUUCCUAGGCUUGUAAGCACAUCUGAAUCGCACAGGCCAAUUAAUUCUGCUCGGCCAAUUUCUCUCCUCGGUGCUUUCAUCUCAGUUUAUUGGUUCGUGGUUGACUUAAACCUACUUUGAUUAAUUUGUGAGCUAAUCGUUAGCCUUCCCUGGUAAAGGUGUAUUUCUACUAACUAGCCCCUUUUUUUCAACUCUAUGUACUAUGCAAUCACACCUCCUUCCAAAGGUGACCUGAAUUUGUGUUUCGCACUGGCCUGCCUUGGAGAGAGCAGUUCAGAGCGCAGUGGAUAAACACUGCACGGCACAUGCUGCUCCGUGUUUUCAUCACUCCAUUAGAUCUGUUGCUUCAUAUUUGUAAAUUUGAAAUCAGUAAGAUUUUUUCAAUAUUUCAGUGUCUUACAUAAAUAUGCCUUAGUGAGAACCACCUAAUUCCAAAAUGAAGACAGCAAGUAACAUGCUCAAUCAUUUGGAAAGAGCAAUUUGUUAAAGAGAGCAGAGCAUUUGCAUUACUUUCGGUCCAUCUUUAUUGCUUCCAGAAGGCAACACUCUCAGGAAAGUUUUCAUGGCCAGAUGUUCAGCUUUUCCAGCUGUUGAAAUAUUUUUGGAAGGACCAUCAGUCAAGACAAAAUUACGAGUCACCGGGGAUACACACUGACCUUUGCAGGAAGAGGGUGGUUUGGCUCGCAGACCAGCCUUCCUGGCUAAAAGUCUGCUAGGAGGUGAAUUCUGUGACAUCUCUAAUUGGACCUCAUUAUUCAAUCUAAUGGCCUUGCUCAAGUCCGGGUAUUACCCUGGAGUGCAGGACUACAGAAUCCUAGCCUGGCAAGGCCUGAUUAUUUUCAAGCCUAGCAAAGCAGCAACUAAUUUAUGUACUGAUCGUUAAUGUGUGAUUAACAUCACCUACUGAUUGCUAUUUCCUAACAAAUUGAUUGUGAUGGCCUGGCUGGCACCAAGAAGCAUCUUAUACCACAAAUGCAAUGCAAGAGGUCUCUGAAUGUGAGCUGCAAUGCCAAAACCCAGUCCAGCAUGAUGGUAUUCUUAUGACAACUUGUGAAUGGAGGGGAAGCCAGCUCUGGGAGUCCCCUUUGCUGCCUUAAAGCAGGCAUCCAGCACUGACUGAAAUCUCACCUGCCCUUGCUUUGCUGCUCCAGCAGUAGGAAGAGGUUUCCUAGAAGUCAUAUGUCACAUCUGCCAGGCCCAUGCAGGUGUCCUGGGUGCUUGAAAGCCUUUUGAAUGGCACUAGAUACUCACAUGUGGGCAGCUGAACCUGCUCAUGGUGGGCAGCCAGCUGAUCAAAGCUGGCCGUGGGCUAGUGAGAGGAUUCAACUAUGUGAGCACAGGUUUCUAAUUCUGCUGUAUAAGACCCUGAAGGUCCUCUGUUACAGCCAUUGGCCCCAUCAGGAGGUCACUGCACCCUGGGUGUCCUAGAUGGCAACUCCUUCCUGCAGGCAAUUGAACCGAAUUGUCCAUCUCUCCUACCUGGAAAGACAGCCUGGACACCCAGUGCUCACGCAGGCUCCUGCAUACUCACACCCUCAGGCAGGUUCCUUCAUCUGGAGUUGAAUCUUAGUCCUGGUUUUCCAAAAGCAAGUUAUCUUCAGUGUUUCCAAACAGUAAUGUCUUUGGUCUGCUUCUCAGACUGAGCCAAAUUAGAAUGAGGCACAAGGGGUUCUGCUAAGGAGCUGUGACUUUACCUAGCCAGGCAUUUACUUAGCCAUUGUUAAACAUAUCAGUAUGUAAUGGAAAACUGCAACCUUAUGGGGGCAAUGUACAAAGUCACACCCGCCUGAUUGUAAAAUCAUUAAUUAUUUUAUUGUUUUUUGCCACCUUUUUUGAGGUGGAAAGUAACAGGCAUUUUUCCACUUAGAAGAAAUCACACAUUAGAUUUAUACUGAAAUAGAACAUUUGAUAAUUGAUUAAAAUCAUCACUGCUUUUAAGUAUUUUUUCAUUCAGUUGUAAUACUAAGGUGAAGAAAGCAUCCAGCAAAGUUAGAUAAAGCUCUCACAAUCAGCAUAAAUCGGCCUAAGCAAAGGCUGACCCCAAAAGACCUGAUUCCAGCUGCUUGUGCCCUCUUGUUCCAGCAGCAGUGUCUCUGCAACUGCUGGAUGAACUAAGUCAGAGAAUUAUCAGCUGAAAUGGAGUUUUGCUGGGUGUUAUACCUGGUUAAUUCUCAGCCAGAUGUGGCUCAGCCAGGGACUUCACAGACUCUAAUGCUGCCACAUGAGAGACAUAGUGAAUAUGGAUCAGCUUAAACCUAUUAUGAAACCGCAAUCUAGAAAAAUAUCUAACAAUUUUAGAAUUCAUGGUCUGGUGCAAUAAGUGCAUUUUGCAACAUUUUGACUAGCUGAAAACUAUUAAUAGCUUAAAUGCUAAAGCCUUUGUUUUAUCCGCAAAGCAGCCUUACAGCAGUCACUCUUGCAUGCUGAUCUUGCAAGUCUAACAGUCUUUUCCCCACUGCUGAGUGAGUCCCAGAUGGUUCAUAUAGCUAUUUGUCCUACAUACUUAUAAGGAUCCGUUAUCUGGGUAGCUGACUCGUGCAGCAAAAGAUUUUCCAGUCAACAAUAUUUCCUUUCAGUGCUCUGUGCUAUGAUUUUCAUGUAUGCAUGCAAUCUUUUAAUUGAUGUAUUCAUUAUUUAUUAUGGAGUCAUUCCUUUGGAAAAGGCCUCAUUGCAAAAAAAAGAGUAUGUUUAAUGCUGCAAUCAGAACAUAGUGAGAAUUGAGGUCGUUCCACUGCUGCAGGGCCAGAAACUUCGCAGCUGAGAUUGCCAUAAACUGCACCUGCCUGGUUCACUUUUGGAUGUUUAUGCCAGAGAUGCUAAUCUUGCAGAUCCAAAAAGCAGGCUGUGGACCUGAUGAAAAAAGUCAGGAGAUGUCUGAUAGUUUGGAGGGUAGGGCAAGGCUGCAAGAAAAGAUUAUGUUUGCACUGAGUAAAAAGUAGAGCUUUUUUUUUUUAAGCACUCCAGCAGUUCUUGCAGUUGAUAGCCUUGUCUUUCAAGUGUCUUUUGGAAAGACCAGUGAGAAUGGUAGGAUACAUUUUGCCAAAGCAGGAGUGACUGCUCUCUUUAAGAAAUAAUCCUGCAAAGCCACGAGUCAUCAGUUUUCCCUUCCAAAGAAGCAGGCAGUAGAAACUGUAACUGCAGAACAGGAUGGCAGGCAGUGGUGGCAGCAUGGUGGCACCUUGCCAUUUGCCCUUUCACCCUAUCCACUGCCUGCACACCCCCCAGGCUCUGCUGGGCCCCACCACGGGGAGCAUCAGCCCUUUGUGAGCAGGGGGAGGCUAAUGGAAAAAGAGGGGAGAUGAGACGUUCCUCUUUGGGGCCUAGAAGCAACUAUGUGGGAUGGAGAGACAAGUGAUCAUCUCUGUGCAACUCUGCACUGUGGUGUUUUAGGUGAGGGCAUACAAGGGUGGCCGGGGUGGCCUCUCUGGCACAUGGAGUCUGCUCCAUGGCUGGAGGAAUGUUCUUCUCCAGCAACCCAGCUCACCUCACCUCAUUGCCCUAAAACGUGAGGGGAAAAGUGAUGGUGAGCAGUGGGUAAGGUGUUGCUUGGGGAGCUCUGCUCCCACUAGCAGGCAAUCUAAGCUGCCCUAAGCUGGGUAGUGUCUCCUUGCAGAUCUCUUUUUCCACUCCACUUGCACAAAGCAAAGGUAGGGUGCCUGUCAUCUGCCUACAUAGCUUGUCUCCAAGGGCUCCUCAUUCUCAAAAUAAUAAGCCUUAGAUUUGAUGUUUUCACACUGGUUCAGGAGCACUUUGAAACUGUGAGCAACUUGUAAAGGAAGGAUAGCAGUGUGCCCAGACCACUUUUCAUCAAGGAUUAUGUUACAUGGGUGGGUAUAAACCCAGCCAGACUACCUCUGCCUGCCAGCACAGGACUAGACACCCCAUUGGCAUGACAUUGCCCCACAUGAAACACAGCCCUGAUGUGUGCUACAGCAGCUUUACAACUUCUUGCCUGCAACUGGCUCACAUAUCUGGCCUGGCUGGACAAGGGCCCAGAUGCGCCCAGAACCAACACAUGCAUGGACUUCAGGCUCCAUGGAACGAGCAUCGUAUUUUUGUCCAAUGCAUCUGAAGCACAUAUAGGACACCCAACUGUUCAAGCCUUGAGUUGCUGUGUGUUAAAGUAACACAAAAUGUAGUAAACAACCUCCGUGUAGGGUAAACAAACUAGGUAGCACUGCUGAAAUUAAGUCUGGUUUCUGUGUUGCCCUGUUCCUUUUAGAGUAAUUUUCACCUUGACAAAGGGGAGCUCAGCUAUCAUUUGGAUAUGUAGCACAGCUGUUUUCCACUGCCUGAAUCACAGAAACCUGUAUCACCCCGUACAGAUGUUUAUAAACAGGCACCAUGACCCCUCAUCAUGUGCAAAAGCCAUGGGCUCAGCCAGUGCAAGAACAUUAUAAGGAAAAGAUGUCACUGCAGCAGAAGCAACAGCUGCUAAACAAUGUUUUUUACUUCUCCUUUUCUGAGCAUAUUCACUGUUUGCUGAACUUUAUACCAGCUCUCAGAGUACUGGCAGGUUUUCUUCCUUUGCAUGCCUUUGAAUUAUACAGGAAUUCUGAACUCCCUCUCAAAUCCAUUUAAACACUCUAUUAGCACAGUGCUUCUGCUUAGACUAGUUUCUUGUGAAUAAACACAAGACCAACAACAAAUGUUGAAAAUUUGCUUUGCCCUGGCCCCAACAGUUACACAGUCACUUGGUGCCUGCCUUCAUAAAUCAGCUUACAGUCCAGCCGUGACGAGCUUCUUUAAAAUACCCUUUUAUUACUUCACAGGGCAUUAGCUUUUUGCCAUCACAGACUCAAAACAAGCCUGUGCUUCCUGGAACUGCUUGGACUCAAUCCCCUCUUCUACUUCCAAAACAAAGACUUGUUUUAAAAAACACUGUGCUAGUUCAGACUGCAGCACUACCAAGGACAAGCAGAUGAUAGAGGAGAAAAGGCAUGAAGCAGCUGAGCAAAGAUGAGGGUAGCAGAGGGACAUAAUCUAGUUCUUAAGCUGGAAGAAAGACAACCUACCCAGAAAUCCCAGGUUAGGAGUCCUGUAGUCCUCCAGGUAGUCCUCAGUGGUUGCCAGUAAUUGCCCAUUUUGGAAAAAAGGUACCGUUCUCAAAGAAAUCCUGGCAAUGUUUGUUGUGUUGGUGUGUGCAAAAUGCACCUGGAAGGAGAUACGCUUUUGGCAACAAGGUGCCAAAACAGUCCUAGACUAGUUCUGAAGACCACUAGGUGCUUUAUUUUCAUCAUUUGAGGGGAGACCUUAUUGCUCUCUAGAACUACCUGAAAGGAGGUUGUAGCAUGGAGGGUGUUGGUCUCUUUUCUCAGGUAGGAAGUGUUAAGACGAGGAAAUGGCCUCAGGUUGCACCAGGGGAGGUUUGGACUGUUUUGUCAAACUCCUCAUGCAGUGUUUGGGAAAUACUGAAAAAAAAAGACUGGUUCAACACAUACUGAUGGCAUUAGGCCAAAAAGACCAUCCUAAAUCUAAUGUUUGCAGGGAGUUAAUUUUACUGGAUUUAUUCAAUUGAAUUGAAUUUAAAAUGCUCUGGUAAGAAUCUGCCUAUGAGACACAAUGGAGUCAAUAGCAAUUCUAGCAACUCCUCCUGUAGAGGAGGCUUCUGGCAGCAGCUUGGAUCAAUGUGUCAGAGUACUUUUGAUGUGCACAGAUUUUGGUUUCUCUCUUUUCUAAAUUGGAUGAGGACUGGAAGACUGAAGUAUCUGCAUUCAGUCAUCUGCAUAGAAGCUGGGUGUCUAAGGUCUCCAUAAUGGAGAUCUUGUCAAUACAGCCAGUACCAUUCCAUGCCAUUAAGAGUCUAGUUCUCUGCAAACCAUAUUAUUUUCUAGAAUAUUUUGUCUGAAUUGGAAAGUUAAACAACCUUGGGCAUGUCUGGGUUGCUGAUAGGUGCUGUGUGCCAGAGCAGGUGCUCUGGUGUGUUCUUCCAUAUCUCCAUGUACUGCACUGGGACAUCCUGUGUCGUAUCUGCCACCUCAUUGUUGAUGUCUCAGAUUCCUUGUAGCAUCUCAGGUAACAUGAGAAGUCUCUGUGCAGGCAAUUGAAACACCCUCUGAGCUCAUAUUUCAACAUCUCUAUGCAAACACUUCAGCAAAAAUACUCCACUCUGAAUCUGAAUCUGAAUCAUAGUUGACAGUAGUCUUACUGCUGAUAUUGCAACUCUAUGAAGCAACUGUUUUACCAAAAGUGUCCUGGGCCCCUACCAGGCCCCCUUGGCCACCUCUCUUCCUCCUGCAGCUCUACCACAGUUGUGCUGACAGCAUUUUCUGAAAAUGUCUGCACACAGCAUCCCUCCAAAAGGGAAUUUUCCAAGACAAAGAGGAAACCACAGUAAGAAGAGCUGCCCAGUGCUGUUCAGAAGAUAAGCAGGUAUAAUUAGUGGGAUAUCCUCUUCCCUCAUCCUACUGAUUCAUACUGCUGGGGACAGUUUCAUUCAAUGAAAUUAAACAAACAAACAAACAAACAAACAAACGUAUAAGGAUAAGAACCAUUCCAAAUAAGGAAGAUGUUGAAUAGUAACAUUCCUGAAAGAUUUCAGUUGAAUGUUAGGUGAAACUAGAUAAAACGCCAGCACCAGACAGCAGGUAUAAACAUGAAUGGGAUUGAGUCAAGUUGCCAGCUUUCUAGUACAUUUAUAAAUGUGAAGGAUUGAUAGACAAACAUCAAAUCACCAGGUUUUUAUCAACUACCACUUAGACUCACCACGACACCUUUUUUUCUUUUUUUCUGAAAACGUUAUUGAAAGUCCUGUUGAAACACAUUUCUGAGGAUGUGCUGCCAUCCACCUCCUGAAGUUUCACAGGCAACAGGUGGACUGUGGCUUGAGACCAGUGAUGCCAGCAGGCUCAGUCCCUGUGAGUGGUUGAAGUGAGGAUGUCUCAGCACCCACAGAAGGUGAGCACUGCUCACUACCUGCACUGGGGAGGGUGAGGCCAUGGGGCAGUGUCACUCCUCCCCCUGCUCUAUGAAGGCAGGCAAGUGCACCAAAAAGUCCAGGCAGAUGUUGCACCCCUAUGAGUCACAUCACACUGACACUUGUAUCCUCUGUGUAAAGCAAUGUGGGCAGGAAUGCCUCCUCUACUGAAACACACAAAUACCUGCAUUAACACCACCUUCUUCAGAAUAUUUUCUGUUUAGUUUUGUUUUCAUUGAUUUAAAAUGCAGAAAAAGGAAAGCAAAGUAGAUCUUUUCUAAACAACUGUCCAGAUGAAGCAAGUAAAAAAAUAAAAUAUAAUUAAACCAAGCUAUGGCUUGUCAUUCAGAAUGAUGCCAAAUAUAUAAUUACUGUCAUAUGUAACUGUUUUUUGUAGCUUGAAUAAAAUUAAAGACAAAAUAAAAUACUUGCCUCAUUGUUUCUUUCUGAUUCACUGCCUACAAACCUGUAGUGCUUGAAGAGGAUGUCAAAACAAAAGCUGGAUGGGGACUUUUCAAUUAAAUGUUUUUCACCAGAAAAUGCUGUUUCAUCGAAACCAAAACUUUUCAAGGAAAUCUAUAUCUGUAGUUGAAACUUUUGUUAGAAAGGUUUUGGGGUUCAGAAUUAUAUUUCUGAUUAAAAGAAGAAACAGACAGAUAGUAUUAACACACAAGACCAAGCAUCUCCUGAGUUUGAUUCCCUUUGCUAUGUGAGUGAAUGAAUCGCUUGCCUUACCAAACACUUUAUUUUCCCUCAUGUAUUUUUGUGAUAAAUUUCAACAAUCUUUUUGAUUAUCAGUGUAACUAAAACAACUGUGGAAAUCUCAAGAAGUUUUGCAAGCUGGAGUUCUCAUUUCUAGCCAGGCCAUCUAAUAGCCAAAUGUGUGAGUCUUCUAGGGAUAUCUGUUCAACUUCAAUUCCAGAAAGCUUUAAGUCUAUGAGAGAUUAAAAUAAAAGCAUAAACCAGAGAAAUUUCCACAAGGAACACCAGCUAUAAGUUCUUGGAACAGGUUCAUGUGACUGAAAGAGUGGCUAAACACUGUUGUCCUUCAUUUUUUGGAAAUGUCCAAAACUUACCUUCAUCAAGUAGUUACCCAAUGGCUGGUUUUGGGCAGGUAGCCCAAGCUGAUCUCUUCAAGGCAUUCAAGGAUAGAGGUAUACCAGACUGGGGAGGCAGACAGUAGCCAUUGUAGCACUCAAGUUAUCAGCAAGCAGACUUGGGGGGAUCUUCCUGAGCCCAGGAAGAAAGCAUCACUGAUGAGAACUUGGUCUUCCAGUCACUAGAGCCUGUGGCCCUUAGCAGUGAAAGGUGCCCAUCACCACUGUGUUAAUUUUAAAAGUGUUUGGAGUUGCACUUGUCUGUGCAUCUUCCCUGGUUAGCUUUGUCAGUUGUGCUUCCUGUGUUUUUUCUUCCUAAAGAAAUAAAAUUAAAAGUCACAUCCAGCAAAAGCAGGAGGUUUAAGAUACCAAAGACCUUAAGCCAGUUACUUGUAGUUUCAUGAUCUGACAAAACUCUUUUCCCAGACCAGGUAUCCUGACUUGGGAAAUGCUGUGACUGUGUUGAUACAAACCUUGAAGAACACUGGAGAACAAUUCUGAUAUUCACACACACGGUGAUAUUUUUGGGAAAUUCACCGUCUUUGUCCAUUAUCAAAACUACAGAGCUCUGUUAAUCUUCAGCUGAAUUUCUCUGCAUUUGUAAGGGAGUUGCACUUUCUACAGUGAAGGUGACAAAGUUUGACCCAACAUUCCUAUGUUGCCUUUGGUCAGCUCUGGCAUAAGACAAACAAAAUGACAUAUCUCUGCAGGACUCAGCUGAUGAGGGUUCUACAUCCAGGAAAUUAACUGUCAGUUUAAUGCCAGUCCCUUACUGCUUGCCAGUGACAGUAGGCAGGUAAGUAGAACAUCAUGAUCGAUUAUCACAAUGGCUGGUGAUAGACUGGAGAGACCUAACAUUGACAUCUGACAUGAGACCCUUAUCCAUCAUGGCUCUUACUGCUGUCUUCUGAUUAUGAGGGGGCUGAAUUAUUGAGCAGACCUAAUUCAUGGCAAGCUGCCACUCGCAUUUCUGGGAAGGGCGAAUGUAAUAAGAAACAAAUGCCUCAACUACAAUUUUGUAUUGUCUCCAAGCCUCUCCCAUUGUGCUUCCCUGCUGGGUAAAAAAAGGCAAGGAAGGAGGUUGAACUGCAUGCUGACUGGCUUUGCAUGGCAGUGACAGGUAUUCAGAGGCAGUAAGACUGUCUGUCACCAAAGAACCAGCACCAAAAAAAAUGUUGAGACAGUGGGAAUGCAGCACCUUUGAAAAGGAGAAGGCUCACUUAAAAGUUUGGCAGGAUCAAACCCUCUAUUAUAGUUCUCUCUUCACCCCCCAAAACUCUCAGACAAAGAACAUGAACUUCUGAGACUGUAACUGAAUAUAAAAUAAUCAGCAAAGUCACGCUUCACCCACAUAAUUUAUUUGGAUGUAGAAACUGGCACUUGCCCCACCUAUGUUCACAGUCCAACUUCUCUGCCACAGAGAGACAGGAUCCAUGAUUUUCAGUCCAAGGGUAUUUCUGACAUUGCAAAAUUGAUUUUCACUGCAAAAUCCAAAAUAAAAGUCCAGUGUUUUAAGGUCUCCCUCCUAGAGGAGCACGACUUGAUGGCAAGACAAGGUGGAUAUGGUGAUGCUGCUGGUGGAGGAUGGAGGAUGGAGCUGCCCAUGGGACACGGAGCAGCCCUUGCCUCCAGCUCCCGGCCACACACCAGGCACUGCCACCAUGCCAGGGACCCCAGGGCGGAUGGGACUGCAAAUUCAGUGCCAGGGAAGGACGUGCCAGGAAAGCACAGCCCUGCUGCAGCCUCCCACAGCCUAGCCCCUGACUUCUGGGUCUUUUCCAGUUAAAUUAAUCAAGUGUGAUCAGGAGUAAAUGCAGUCAAAUAACUGAUUCAUAAAUGUUCACCUGAUCUUUUAAGAGAGGGUGAAGUAAAACUCUGUCCAUCAAAUUUGUGUAAGUCAACUGCCAAUGGGGAAACACUAUCUCUGAGUGAGCAUCAAAAGAAAUAAUCGUCUCAAUUAUUACUUCCAAAAAAAUAUGACUGCAUUCUGGUUCCUCUUUAUGGAAAGUGCCUAUAAAUUUGCUUUGCAUAAGAAAGGAAGCAAUAAUAAAACCAUCUACACACUAUGAUGAAUAUUUUUGUAUUUUAAAAGUUCCUAAUAGAAAAUCCUCUUUCCUUCCAUUCAAAGAUGUUUUCAAUUAUCUUCAAAAGUGAGAUCCCUAAACAGUUCACAACUUUGCCCUCAGCAAUGCUGAAACAGUACCAUUAAAAUCAAUGAGAUUACACAUGUUCAAAUGAUGGCAGAACAUAGCCAUGCAUGUUUAUUGCAAAUGCAUUUGUAAAACGUACUCCAAAGGACAAAAGGUGCAUAAAUAAAUGUCUUGUCUGUAAAUAUCUGCAUUUUUGCUGAACAGAUGUGUGUGGUUUUAAUAAAUUCCUGUAAACAGAAGUGGAUUUCUGUUUUUUUCCUUCACAUGACCUUCCAUACUUGGCAAAUUUGCCUAGCCAGGCCUUAUGUCCCAGUCCUCCACCUGUAACUUCAGCAAAAUAUAGGAAGAAAACUCCUGUAAAAUUUCAGUGAUACAACUAUCACAUUAACUGUGUAUAUGUUUCUAUUUUGAGAAGAAAAGGCUUUUUGUAUUUUGAUUAAUUGUCUUUGACAGACUAAUCUAGGAGCAUGAAUAGGUUGUAUCAUAGACUAUUAACUCGGUAGCAGUCCCAGUGCUGGGAGUGUUUCUAGGGAGGCAGAUCUCCUUUUGAUCCUACCAGACCUUAAUGAUACUGUUUGUAUUAAUAUUAGCAGUGGCAUUUUUAAAAAUUCAGUAUUAAUUGAAUCUUGAUUUCUUCAUUAUUUUCCACAUACUGUGCUUUUCCAUGAGAACCACAACGCAUGCCAACAAAUGCCUAGAGAAAUAUCUUCAUCUUGUAAGCUACAAAAUAGAUUCUAUUAUCCAGUUAAUUUAUGGCAGCAAUUUGGAAUUCUGCGGAGCCGGACACAGCUGACUGGCAAUGAGUGCAUUGUUAUUAAAUAUGAGCAACGUGUGACAUUAAUCUCAAAUUAAUUUUUGAGAGAAAAUAUAUGCAAAUUGCAAUAACCUAUAAUAAAGAAGUGAAAGAAAAUGGUGCAAUACAUAGUCACAAAAAUAAAUUUCUGUAACAGAUUUAUACACAUCACUUGGUUGUUCCUAAUUUUAUUCAGUGAUCGAUUGAAGAAGAGACCAGUCAAGAGACCUGAGUAUUGGAUGUACCAAGGCUGAAGUUCUUUGCUUGGAGCUGACCGGAGAGGCUGGAUAACCCUGAUGAUAACUCCAUUUAUCCAGCUUCAGAAACACCUUCAAAGAGCUGAGGAAGCAACAGCAGUGGAGCAGACCUGCACCCUAUGAGAUGCUCUGCAUUCUCUGCAGAGCUGUGUGCAUCAAAAGCCACUCACAUACCCCUAGAGGUAUCAAGCACUGAAGCCAGAGGAAGUGAAGGCACUGAAAACCUCAGCAAAUGAGGCCCAAAGAGCAUCAUUAUAGAGAAAGCAUGUGUGCACACAUUGAGCAGGAUGAUAAACUGCGGUGAGCAUAGGAGUUGCCACUCAGCACUGACCACCUUCCAGCCCUGUGCAAAAGAGCCGUCUUGUGUUUGUUCCAAGAUGCCUAGGGAGGGAAUUAAAUCCACAGCUGACCUCCAGCUUUGUGCAUACUGAAAUCCAUGACGGCAGCUUUGCCUUAUGCUGCAUUUGAAGAACCAUUUGAAGAUUAAGUCAUUCUUGGAGUAGUGUGGGGACCUUCUGCCACCUUGUACCUCUCUCUUUCAUGUAUUUCCUCUCCUGCAUACCCCAUCAGGGCAGGACACAACCACUUCUGUCUUUGAAGAGCAACCAGCACAGGGGGACAUGAGACAGUCCUAGGGCUCCUCUGGCUGUUGCCGUCAGUCAAAUAACUAAUUUGUACAACAUACUCUUACGAUUUAUCUGAUUUCAGAAGACAGAUUGGACGUAUGGUGUUAGGAAAAGCCUUGGGCAGGACAGAAUAAGCCUAAUCCUCAGUGCCUCACUGUAUGGUGAGGCCUUGGAGAGCCAAGCCAGCGGGUGCAGCAGUCUGAAGGCACUUCCUGUUUUUUAUACAGGUUUCCCCCCAUGUUUUGCAGAGAAAGUCUGGGGUUUUUUUUUACGAAAUGAGAUACAGACAGAAGUGUUAUUAACUCAAACUGCAAGUCCUCGUUUUUAAAAGGAUCUUCCCGAGAAACAGACAAGCACUGAAUCAAACAGAAAGAGAAAAAAAAAAUAAGCCUAAAUUUUCUCCAUGGCCCUGAGAACAAGUGACAGAAAUCACCAGUUCCUGCUGAAGGUGAGCAGAAUUGAUUUGCAACCAGGAGAAACUGCUUAUCUGUGCAUGAAAGGGUCGAUCCUGCUGUGCUGACUCAGGCAAGUCUGCUGCUUAAACAUGCAGCCUGGCACUUCAGACGAGGCAUUUUCCCAAUGCUCAAGCUCCCUGUUCAAAAUCAGAGCAAUGACUGUACCCUGCACUUACCAACACAUGUGCACGUGUGCACAUCUCCAUAGCAGGGCAGAAGUGGGCUUCUCCCAGACAUUGGACAGCUGCACACUGGGUGGUCUGACUUUUUAAAGGCGUAUGUCUGCAGUCGUAUUUCACAGAAUCACAGAAUCACAGAAUCACAGAAUCGACUGGGUUGGCAAAGACCUCAGAUAUCACCGAGUACAACCCUUGGUCCAACUCUAGUCCGCUUACUAGAUCAUGGCACUAAGUGCCAUGUCCAAUCUCAGUUUAAAAACCUCCAGGGAUGGCGAGUCCACCACCUCCCUGGGCAGGCCAUUCCAAUGCCUGACCACUCUCUCUGUAAAGAAUUUCUUUCUAAUAUCCAGCCUAAAUUUCCCCUGGCAGAGUUUAAGCCCAUGCCCCCUUGUCCUAUUGCUAACUGCCUGGGAGAAGAGACCAAUCCCCACCUGGCUAUAACUUCCCUUCAGGUAGUUAUAGAGUCUGAUGAGGUCACCACUAAGCCUCCUCUUCUCUAGACUAAACAACCCCAGCUCCCUCAGCCUCUCCCCAUAGGUCUUAUGUUCAAGUCCCUUCACCAGUCGUGUUGCUCUUCUCUGGACCCGCUCCAGCACUUCAAUGUCUUUCCUGAACUGAGGGGCCCAGAACUGAACACAAUACUCCAGGUGUGGCCUCACCAAUGCAGAGUACAGGGGAAGGAUCACUUCCCUUGUCCUGCUGACCACGCUGGUUUUGAUACAGGACAGGAUACCGUUGGCCUUCUUGACCACCUGGGCACACUGAUGGCUCAUGUUGAGCUUCCUGUCAAUUAGUAACCCCAGGUCCCUUUCUGUCUGACUGCUCUCCAGCCAACUUGCGCCCAGCCUGUAGCGCUGCAGGGGGUUGUUGUGACCAAAGUGCAGCACCCAGCACUUGGCCUUAUUGAACUUCAUCCCACUGAAAUCAGCCCAUUUUUCCAGUCUAUCCAGAUCCCUCUGCAGAGCCCUCCUGACUUCCAGCAGGUCGACACUCCCUCCCAACUUGGUGUCAUCAGCAAAUUUGCUGAUGAUGGUCUCAAUCCCCUCAUCUAAACCAUCAAUAAAGAUGUUAAACAGGACUGGACCCAACACUGACCCCUGGGGAACACCACCAGUGACUGCAGAAUUCAAAUAUAGCUGCUGGGCUUUACAAAGCUGUCUGAAAAAUCUAAGUCAGCCAUUUCACGGUUCCCACAGGCACCAGGGCAGCUCCCUCUGAGCAGAGUUGAAUCAUAUGCUACAGGCGGCCCUCAAAAUUGUAUCCCAUGAUAAAAAUUGGUCUUCCAGAAUUUCAGAAAUCGGGGUCAGGAGGCAGAAAAAUAAUUUUUCCUGAAGCAAAGAGACUGCUAGCGGGACCCCACAGAGGUUUACUGGAACUCACCCUGUUUCUGAAAUGCAGAGUGACCUGGAGACAGGCGGGGAUAGUGGGUGACAAAAGUUGCAGAUGACACCAAAUUAUUUAGAAUGCUUGAACCUGAACCUGACUUCCGAGACGUGCAAAAAUAUUUCAUGGUGCUGAAUGACAAAGUAAUAAGCAAAAAAUCUGAGAGGCUGAUAAGAAAUAAAAAAGGCUGAUAAGCACUGAACAGCCUACUUAAGACAAAAAUAUGUACCGGAUUAUGGGCCUGAAUUGCUGCCACUCAGGAAAGUGGCUUUGACCUCACUGUGGAAAGUUCUCUGAACAUUUAUGUCAACAUUCAGGAGCUGUUAAAAAGCGAAUGGAACGUUAAGACUUCUUAAGAAAAGUGUAGAUCAAAAAAUGGUGCAUUUCAUUUUGUCAGUGAAUAAAACCAUGGUACAUGUGAAUCUUAAAUACUUCAUGCAGCUCUGAUAAUGCCAUUUCACAGGGAAAAAAUUAAAAAAAAGGAAAGAGGAUGACUGGAAGCAUCCUACAGAGAUACGGGGUGGCUCCCACUGCUGGAGACCUAAAGCCCCAGAUUCUCCUCAGUCUAGAAAAACUACAGUCAUGACAGAGGCCUGUGGACAUGAGCAGUGUGGAGCAAGAGGUGGGGUUUUUAUCCCUGCCACUUGGUGCUCUGGGAACCACAAAUGUGAAGAUGCUGCUCCAGGGCAAGACAAAUAAAUGGAGAUUUGGUCCUAUAUGUCAUUGCUGGGGUGCAGCUCUGCCUUAGGGAGGUUCCACACUCCUGACUGCUGGAAGCUAGAUGAGAUUCUUCUGCACUUUCCCCAUUUCUGUGCUCUCACACAGGCUUCUGCUGUUGGCAGCAUGAUGCUCCCCAGGUGGAUCAUUGAGCUGACCUCCCCUGACUGUUCUUCCAUUACUCAUUCUUGUGUCGAGCCUACCUGGACGGAGAAAGUUGUCGAGAUUUAUGGAGGUAACCUAAUAAAGUCUAAGAAAACUAAAUACAAAUCUUGCUUGUGCUCUCUUAACCUAAAUGUAUCCGCUGAAGAUAAUCCUGUUUCUUCUAGGAUUCAUCACAUACUUAACAGAUUCGUAGUGAUUUAUUUGCCAUGAUUUAUUCAUGAUCUAAGAAGGAGUUGAUCUAGUCAUUGUUUGCAAACCCAUUAGAGAGGCCUCACUUUGAUGACUUCUUUCUGGCCAAAACUCAAGUUAGCAUAGAGUAUAAAUUAUUAUAUUGUGCCUCAAAGACUUUCUGCUCUGAUGUUUUUCUUUUUUCCUUUCACAGUCUGGAGGGAGGUCAAGACUGUAGCGGUAUGUGAGUGAAGGUGUAACAGUGCAGUCUUUGAUGACUUUAAUAUGUAGUCUCAGUAUUUUUUCCCUAAAUUAUUUUUUGUUAUUACAUUACCUUAUUCAAAAGUUCUUGGAGACCAAUUUACCCUGAUAAAUGGUCAUGGAUAUCUUUAUUCAGAAUGGAAGAGCCAUGAAACACCCUGAAACUUUAGGAGCAUGGAAGUCCUUCACUUCAAGACAUAGGGCAGAAUCUGCCCUGAUUCAUGAAGGUGCAAGAGCCAAGUUCAUCAGCUCCUGCUGAUAACUGCCAGUAUUUUACUCUACAGGCAAUCUGUCUGUCUCUGGACUUGCACUGGGGCAGUGAAACCCAGCCUUGGAUGGAAGUCUUCAUGGGAAAGGUUGUUGAUUGCACAUAUGAUGUCCUCUGAAGGCAACUGGGCUACACAUGGGUGAUCAUCACUGUCUCAUAGAGUGCCAGUUGGUAGGUAAAAUUCUUGCCUACUUAUUUAAUCAGCCUAUUCUUACUAUUGUUUUUCAUUUGAAAUUUGUUUUGCUUAUUUGAAAUAACAGAAUGGGUGCCCAUAAAAUUGCUAUUCUUUUUGUGUUUGAAAGGUACAUAAUUUUUCACCCCCCUCCAUUGCACUAGGGUAGCAUUUUUAAUGCUGCAAGUUUCAAUAAAAUGUAUAAAUAUAGCUGAUAACAAAACAGCUCUGCUUGUUUCAUUUUUUAUUAGUGGUGCUAGGUUAUCCCUACUGAUAUAGACAGAGACACUCAUUGCUCUUUUACACAAAAAUACAGGAAAAAAUAAGUUGAGGAGUAUAAACAGCACUGUCUUCCACAGAUAGAAUCAACGGCUUCCCCAGUGGGGAGCUGUGGUGUGUUUGCCCCACUUUGCCUGUGGGGAAGGGCAGUCUGCCUGUAAAAUCAACAUCAGAUGAAAGUAAGUUUUUUCCCAGUAAAAACACAUUCUGGGCACCGUCCUGUCCAUUUCCUCUGUGUGACUUCAGGAGCAGAAGGCUGUUCAUUGCUGUCAGGAGUGUGGCAUUGCUCAGUGAGGUGUCAGCUCACUGACAGCCACAGAUUUAGUAGAAAGAUCUCUGAAAGACAGCACUUUGGGUUGGGAAGUGACUGGCCUGCUCCAGAAAGUGCUAUUGUCACUUUCUGGUUCCUCACCUUUCUCAGAGGUAGUCAAACUGCAUCCUCUCUGCUAGUACAAGAUCUGUUCCCUUAGAUAGAAUUUUAAAUACAUAUAUAUAUUAUAUACAUAUAUAAAUUACUGCGACCUGCAACCUAUCUGUCUCCCCGGUGGGUAUUGCAUUGGGUUGUAGCAGAGCAAGCAGCAAGGGGACCUCAUAGUGGAAACUACUCCCAUGUGAAAGUGGAUACUGAAAAGUGUACAGUGUCCUCAAUGCAUGCUCCUGGAUUGAUUGUAGAGAGCUAUUUUUGAGAAAGAUUGCUCAUGGCUUUUGGAAUAAUAUACUGUGUAAAAACCAUGCCACGUUUAAACUGGUUAAUGAGUGGAAGAUAUUAUGUAGGGAUGGGGUGAACUCAGCUCAUAUUUUGACACGUGGGUUUAUGCAAAUAGAGCAUGAAGCGUGGUGCAGUACUCGUAACAGUGGACUGGGGCAGGCAGAGGUUUCUCACUUUAACCCUCAUGCUUUCGGGUGUACAAAGUAGCUUCAAGUUCUGCCACUGCAGCUUUAGGAACCAUCUUUCACACCUUCCCACCACUGUACCCACUUGUUACCAAAUGCCUCAGCACCCCUUUCCCGCUCAAGGCCCAGGCAUUAAGCAGAAAGCCUGUUGGGUCGGUGUGGUAACAGCUUACUCAUAGGAAAAUGCCGACAAGCCCAGGAAACAUGUGCAAGGUUGAAAAAUAGAAAGCUGAUUGGAGAGGUGUGAGCAGUCCCCCACGUCACUCCACCUCUUCUCAUCACAGGAUAAGAAAAACGCUUCAGAGAAGAUUGUGUACUCCCAAAGGCUCACUGCAAUGUGCAAAGGAAAGGCUGAUUCAGGAAAUAUUUUUCACCCUCCGCAUGCUGGGGACAGCGGAGCUGGGCAGCCUGGGGAAACACUGAUGUGAACACCAUGGGGGCCAGAGUGAGUGGGUGGAGAAUGCCAGGAGAGGAUCUGUGGUGGUAAAGGUGACAGGUAUGCAUUCCUCUGCCCACAAAUCCGGAGAGGAAAGUCCUUUAGAAAAGCCUUAGGGGAUGUGUUACUCUCAUCAUACCCCCAACCACAAAAUGUUUUGCUAGAAAUACUGCGCAAUGGCUCACUCCCCAUAUGCACUUUUCUCUCAGGUGCUUGCCUAUGUGCCAGUGGGGUGACACAGGGAACCUGUGACAGUCAAAUCAGAAAUGUAUGUCCAUCCCAGCAGGAAAUAGUGGGCUGAAGUGGUGUGGCAAGCUGACAGUCCCAUGAGAGCAGCCAGACUUUUGCUGUGCCAGGCAGGGGAUUCACACUUCUGCAUCCAUGGCACCCACCACAGCAUGAGGUGGCACUGAUGGGAGAGUGAGACCUGACACCCUGGAACACAGGGUAAGAAUGGCCACUGGAGGCCACCAGCCCAACCCAUCGCCAUUGCCAUGCCCAGCCCCAGGCUUGUGUCACAGCCCACUGAGAGUGGGGUUUAAGAGAGGAUCAAGUUGUGCAUAUGUUGGAAUAAAUGUGACUUUCUGUUCCUGAGCACCAAGGUUGUCACCAGUGAGUGCAGGUGGGUGCCCAGGGUCACAGAGCUUGAGCCUCAUCAGCAAAAAAAACAAGUAGCAGCAUCGUGCCACAAGUCCCACCAGCUUCUCAGCAUGUCUCUCGAUACUUGUUAGCCAGAGAGUUUCUGGAAAACAAAACCUGAACUUGAACUGAAGCCAGGAUGUUGUCGUUCUUCUUUCUGUACUUUUGGAAGAGGACUUCUUGUUCUUUUUAUUCAUUGAGGUCCUAAAUGACAUAAAAUUCUAAUCUACUCCAAAAAAAUUAAUUGUACUUUAUAAACUCUAAACAGUGAAUGAAGAAACAGAGAGAGGACAGUAACCCGUUCCACACCUUCAGUGCACGUGUGCUCUUUGCAGGGCCAUAAUUGCUGCCCAGUUCUUCUUGCAGGGUGACAUCUGCCAUGGUGAUUAGGGUAGACCCAUGCUUGGCACCAGGCAGCCUUGCCUCACUGCAGGUUUGCUCCAGAUAAUGAACUCGGCCAGGCUGUUAAGAGAUGCCCUUUCCUACCAAGCCAUCAAGAAUUAAUGGGGAAGAAAUUAGUACUUCCUAGCUAACACUAUAGAAAAAAAUGUUAUUUUCCCAUUUUAUCACUCAUGGCCUCUCUGCUGACUGUAGGGAUAUGAGGGCAGUGCUAAUAUUGGCAUUGAAAAAAAGCUGCUGGGAGUUUUACAAACCAGCAGUGGAAAGAGAAAUGCAUGGUCCUACUUCUCUGUUCCCAGGCUAAGUUUACAUCAAGAGCAGCUUGUAAUGGGGCUGGUUGGGAAUUUUCUCUUGGAAUCCUUUCUCUCCAAAUAUGCGGGGUUUUUUAUAAGCUGUCAGAGAAAUUAAAAUGGAAGCAACAACUGCUCUACCUCACACCUCAGGAGCUGUUUCUGAGCUGGUAUGGCAACCUCUCCCAAGCUCCCUUCCCCAUGGCAGCACAGCAUCCCCAGGUUCUGGGGGUGGGAGGCAGCUCCCUGUGCGCAGGCAGAGCCAGAGGACAUGAAAGCCCUCAGUGGGAAAAGCCGAACCCAGCGCUCAGCUCCCCACAUGGAGAUCUGGCUGCCAGCUCUACCACCUUGCAAUGAGUUUGGGAGGUGGCGUCAAGCACAGGGUUGCCAGCCCCAGCCUGGUGGCAAAAUGGGAAAGAGGCAGGUGCCUCUUUCUCUCCUCACACCAGUGCUGUUCCUGAUGGUUGGCUCCCCAAACGUGUAGCUUUCUGAAUGGGAGUUUAUUGUUUAUGUUUUGGUUUUAUCCCACUUCAGAGAACCUCACAGAAAUGAGAUUUUGAGCUUUCACCAGCUUGAGUGUUUUGUUUUGCAACGUGCCUAGAAAACUGGGGAGGAAAAUACACAUAGCUAUUUUUGUCUUGUUUCAGUUCAGUUUUGCUGUGGAUUUUGAGAAAAAGCUGGGGUCAUUCCCUUCACCCUUAGCUGCUGAUAUGUCAAAGUAACACAGAAAGUCUGUCAGCACUCCUGAAAGUGGGAAGUAGCAGAGAUUUCUGGACUGAGAUUGUUCUCACGACCAUUCCAGUUCCGCUCUGCAGAUUCAACAGAAUGAAGUUCACAUGCAGUUCAGGGAUUUCUUCAAAGUAUUUUUGGAGUGAACCUCUAAAGAUUUUUUCAUAUACUUGCUACUAGGUCUUUAUAGCAGAAGGGGUGUUGGCUGCACAUUUAUCUUAUGUUCUGCAGUUAAACCCACCUUAUGCAGUAGCAUAUCCUCAUCUCAAACUGGAUCCAUGCUCCUGUUUACAAGGAUAUCUAGUUCCAAAGGGUCAGAGACUUAAGGAGGCAAGAACAUGGCAGAUCUCCCAGGCUCAUCUUAAUUAUGUUCCUCAUGACAGUGAGGAUGCUCUGGUCCUGAACAAUCCCUAAGGUAACAGGAGGAAUGGAAAUAUGCAGGUUAUAGGGUUUGGUAUACUCAAGUUCUGGCUGUAUAGGUCUCUUCCUUAUUUUUCUCAGCAUUUGUGAUAAGGAGCUUCCAAGCAGUGACUCUUGCAAAUACCUGUGGAAAGGCUCUUUUCCCAGAAUUGGCAGGGAGAGGGGAGGAGAAACACCUCAAUGAAAAGAAAACCUGGAAAAUACUGAGUGCUGUCAGCCAACUUCAGGUACUUCACAAGCCAAGGAGAAGUGCAGUGUUGUGCACAGCUGUUUUCUCAACAGUUUGUGCUCCCACGCCCAGCCUGUAGCCCAGCAGGCUGGUUGCUGGACCACAUCUGUGACAGAUGACACUGAGAUGCUUCUGGUUUGAUGCUCCUUUUCUUUUCAUAUUCCUUGACACUGAAGAAUCUAUUUUGAACCCUGCAGCAUCUAAGGAAAUGAGCAGGACAAUAAUAGUCAUCUGGCUUUGUAGAAGUUGGAUUAAACUAAGCUUUCAAGUGGACUAUCUCUAAACGUGGCCACAUUAAGAUUUUUACUGAAUCCUUUGCUUAUUCUUCAUGGCAGACACCUCAAUCUCUGUUUGUGAUAACCUGAUACUUCCCCUCAGACAAUCAUUCCUACAGUUUCUCUACAUUUUUCCCAGGUGGGAUGCUUGCCUUGGGAUCUAUGGUUUUGGAUGUUUUGGAAAAUGUGAUUUGGUCAUAUUAAAGAUAAGGUCAGGAAAAAUAUUCCCUCCUCUGCUAUUACAAAAUAAAAAAUCAGUUUUUCUUUGAUGAGUUCUGCUAUCUUUUGAUUUUCAGUGACUUAAGGUCACAAAAUCUCAACCUACAGAAGUCUAUAAGUUUUCUGGGUUUGUUUGUUUGUUUGUAGUUUUUGUUUGGUUUUUUGUUUUGUGUUUGUUUGUUUGUGUGUUUGUUUGUUUGUUUUUAUCUAGGGAGACAUUGCAUUAACAAAAUAUCGGAAAAAAAACCCAAACCCUCAGGGUUUGUAAAGUCCAACAAGCAGACUUUAGAAAUUACCAGGAUUUAGGUUUUCUGUCAGCUUUAUUGGCUACUUUUCUCUCCCUCCUUCUCUCCUCAGCGCAUCAUGCAUAGUGUUGACUUUAAUUACAAGAUAACACACUGUGGGUAUUUUUUCACUCACUGUGGAGUUAUUAAGUAUGUAAUCCCAUAACUAAAGACCAUUUCUUACUCCAUGAGCAUAGAUGGACUGAAGCAUGUGACAGAAAUGACUUUGAUUCUGAAAGUCCUGACGUUUGACUUCAUACCAAUAUACGUUCUCAAGCCUGAAGCUAAAUUCCUUCUGUUAUACAUUCACCAGUUUUGCUUUGUUGCUUCCCAUAACUGUAUUUUUUUUUUAGCAGUUCAGCUCCUCUUAUUUGGAGUUACAGCAGAAUUUAAAUAGCUGAAAGUGUUGCCAGUGGUGCAUCAGGUGUCCUGACUACAAGAAACCUUUCAAGAUCCCAGCUCUGGACAUAAUUAAUGAAUUAUUGAUCUUAAAUUGUAAUAACAUUCAGUUCCUCUUUUGGACAUAAAUAACAGCUAAUUUACCUGAAAAUCUCCUUUCAAUCACACAACUUCUGUGAAAGCUACCUAGUAACUGACUAUUGAUCCUUUCAUUCAGAAAAUUCUGCCCAGAGCUCAAAUGCACAGUAGGCUGUUUAGAACAUGCUUGGUCCUUCAACGGUGACCACAACAUUAGUUAAGAAAAAAAGCUAAUAAGUUGAAAUACUAGAACAAAGAAAACCAACCUUUUCACUAAGUUGUGGACGCUCUACAAAGUAAGACUUGUUAGGAAAUGUAUCCACCUAUCUGGUAGCUAAUUCCAGGAAAUAAACCACACAAAUUCAUUUAUACCCAUGUGACUAAGACAAUACAGUCAUUAGGGAGGAAUCACUCACAGUCACUGUCCGUUGUUCACAUUCAGAGGAAAAGAGGAUUACAGUUGGGUAUCUUUGAUGCACAUUGCCCAAAACACAGGAGGAGUCAACUCUUUUCCAACGGGCACUUAACCCAAAAUGUCUCCCUUUGGGCUUUCUUCUGUGUCACCACAUCCCCUGCUGAGGUGGUGUGUCACAUCCCCCUUCUGGGUGGUUUCUCUUCCUCCCUCCCUCCCUCCCUUCCCAGGCAGUGAUGGUUUUUCAUCCAUCGUGUUCAAGCCAUGAGGGGCUUUGCCUUUCUGCUUGGCUUUGGGAAGUGACUUUUGCCUCUGCUUAGUUUUGGAGAUCAGGUUUACUGCAUUAAGUAGUUUUCCUUUGCAGUGACCUGGGAGAUUUUGCUUGUUUCACCAGGCUGUUAUGAUGGUGUUUAUGCAGCUAAGUACAUUGCUGCAUGCUGGUCCUCCAAGAUGAUUCUUUCUUCAGACACUACCUUUUCAAUGAGCUGUAAAUAUUUUCCUCAUCCUUUUAGGUCUACAUUUUACUGUAGAGUAACUGCUGUCUACAUAUCCAUCUGAUUCCUGUACAUUCAGGAAAACAAUCUGGAUUUAUUUCAACUGUACUAGAGAGUGAAAUAGUGGAUAAGAAUAUUUUGAUCAAUCUUUUUGCUACUUUUCUUUCAUCUUUCUAAAAGUAAGAAGCAUUAUUUCUGGCUUAGGAAAAAAGCCCUAACAAAAGCUCUGGGAUUUGAGGGAGAAACCCAAGCAAACAAACAAACAAGCACCACAGAAAACUUCACGAAAGGAAAACAGUAAGGGAACAGAUAGACAACACCAAAAAAAUUUCAUCACAAGAGGGCAGUGCAUAUUAACAAGUGAGGGGAUAACCCAUGUUUCACAGGAGUCAAAUUGUUUUAUUUUAAAAAUUUCCAAAAGUUUUGCUGUUAGUGCUAAAGAAAAAAAAAAAAAAACCAGAAAAAUCUUAGCACUUGAUAGCAAACAGUGCCUUGUGAAGUUUGUUUUUGUUCACUAGAACUGCAGGAAUCUGUGCCUGAUACUGGGUGUUGUGAUUUUGUAAGAGAAGUGAGAAAGCUCUAGGUGGCACAGGAGCCACUGGUUAUCCCCAUUUUUCUGUUUCCCCGGCAGACAGUGAUGUUAACUGGUGAACAGUCAUUUGCUUGUGUAUCAUAACACUGGCAGAAUGACCACUCUUACAUCAGACCUAUUUAGCCUGGCAACAAAGAAAGAAAUGAAAUUCACCUCUCAGAAGGAGGGUUUUCAAGCACAAGUGUACUGCAGCAAGUUGCCUGCUCCUCAAGUGGCCAAUCUGUGUUUUAAGUCCAAGUGCCUGUUUUCCUUAACGAAAGAUGAAGCUAGUUUUACCUCUGAAAAAUGACAAAAUGCUAGCCAUGGAGAAUUAUAAUGUCAGGAGUUUGGCACUUCCUCUGCAGGUUUACUCCAAAACACUCCAACAGCCACAGACAGAAACCAUUAGUCCUGAAAACCGCAAAUUUGGCUGAGAAGUGUCUCCCUUCGGGAGAGGUAUGAGAGGAGGAGGUGCUGUACAGUGUAGGGGUGUGCUAUAAUGGGUUUCACUGGCCAGCAGGAAGAAAAGCUGAAACAUGUCUUCCCCUGGUUGCUCCUAUGGGUGUGUCCCAUUUGACCAUUCAGGCAACCCUCCAGGAGUCACCAUGGACCCACCAUGAAUGUUUGCUGAACCUCACAUCCAACCAUACCCACACUUCUUCAACACCUGCCUUGGAGAGGAGCAUGCUUUGGAGAAGAGCCCAUAGCUGUGAGUCUUCCACAGUCAGGUUGCUGGAGACAGACAAAACAUCGGAGUCUGAAAGUCCUUCUCUGAAGACAGGAAGACUGGGCCUGACAUUAUGUCUGCCAACAUAAAUGGAGGUGGUGUGAUACAAUUGCAUUACACCAAAGAUUAAAUUUGCACCUCCCUCUCUCUGAUUACUUAACUAUGUGAAUUUGCAAUGUGCAGGAUGAACUAGAUUUUCCUAGAGAUAUAUGGCUUCUUCUUUGCUACACUGUCUCUCUUCAUGUUUUUAGAGGACACAUUAGGAAAGCCAAGUGGUGCCCACUCAGAAGUCACCUCUGUUCAAGUGUGAGGAAACCUGCACAGUAUUUCUGGGGAGAGAAGAGCAGGUUUCAAGGAACUACAGAAAAGCAUACACUAACUUUGCCAGCAGGUGUUUAAGGGUUGGGCAAAUCUGAUUACUGACCUUUUUUAGACAGUUACCUCUAUUUGUCCAGAAAUUGCAAACUCCUAUGAUGAAGAACUCAGAACUCAAGACAGAAGUUUCUGUGAACAGCUGCCACUAUUUCUUACAUUCAUGCAGAAGGCACUGUUACAAGCCAUGAAGCCACUGCCACUGCCAGCCACAUCUGGGACCUGAGAGCCUCAGCUGUGCAGGACUCAAUGAACUGGCCCACUAAAGCCCUUUUGAUCUUGUAUUUUGGAGGUUUUCUUCAUUUGAUUGUGAAACAGGAUGGGUGCAGUACGAAACAGUAUGCUUAUAUCAGCAUGGAACAUCACAGUAUCACAGUAUGUUUGGGAUUGGAAGGGACCUCAAAAGAUCAUCUAGUCCAUUCCCCCUGCUGGAGCAGGAACGCCUAGGUGAGGUCGCACAGGAACAUGUCCAGGCAGGUUUUGAAUGUCUCCAGAGAAGGAGACUCCACAACCUCCCUGGGCAGCCUGUUCCAGUGCUCUGUCACCCUUACUAAGAAGUUUUUUCUCAAAUUUAAGUGGAACCUCUUGUGUUCCAGCUUGAUCCCAUUACCCCUUGUCCUAUCAUUGUUUGCCACUGAGAAGAGCCUGGCUCCAUCCUCAUGGCACUCACCCUUUAUAUAUUUAUAAACAUUAAUAAGGUCACCCCUCAGUCUCCUCUUCUCCAAACUAAAGAGACCCAGCUCCCUCAGCCUUUCUUUAUAAGGGAGGUGCUCCACUCCCUUAAUCAUCUUCGUUGCCCUACGCUGGACUCUCUCCAGCAGUUCCCUGUCCUUCUUGAACUGAGGGGCCCAGAACUGGACACAAUAUUCCAGAUGUGGUCUCACCAGGGUGGAGUAGAGGGGAAGGAGGACCUCUCUCGAUCUACUAGCCACCCCCCUUCUAAUACACCCCAGGAUGCCAUUGGCCUUCCUGGCCACAAGGGCACAGUGCUGGCUCAUGGUCAUCCUGUUGUCCACCAGGACCCUCAGGUCCCUUUCCCCUACACUGCUCUCUAAUAUGUAGUUUCCCAGCCUAUACUGGAACCUGGAACACCCACAGAUUUGCAUCAAGUACCCCAUUUCCUAAUCUGUUUUUCAACAAGAGAACAGAAAAGCAAAAAUGAUGGAAGAUAUAAAGGCUUUUCUGGGAUGAACAAUGCCUCUAUUAAAGAAGGUUGUGUAAGUGAAUUCACAGAGGCAAAAGAAUAUGCAUUCACCACUUCACAGGCUGUUCUCUUACUUAAUCCAAUACAAUGUCAUUGAGCAUCAAGACUUAAAGGGCAACUUCAUGUGCCACAGAACCCUUCUGGCUGAUGAGUAGUGUUAUCCUCUUUUGGGGAACAAACAUCCUGUGUCAGGUGCAUGCUGCAGUGCAGCCUGCUAAAAUGUCCUCAUGACUUCCACAGGGCUAAAAGACUUUUUACUGGCCUCUGAUUUAAAGGUGACAUUCCUGACAACGUAAUUUAUGUCAAAAUUGUAACUCAAAACAUUUUCAGAUAUCUACAGGCUCAGCGGUGCAGUGAUGCUCCCCUAAGCAGCAAUAAAAAAUAAAGUCUACGUUUAACAAGCAGACAAAGGAAACCAGGUAGCAGUCAAUACAAAUAAAUUAAAAUUUAGAGAAUAAGGGAAGCUAAAGAGAAGUCUGGUAGACUCCAGUACAACAAAAGGGAUAAGUAUUAAUACGAAAUCAAGCAAUGUAGUUGAUGGAGAUAAUAAAGUGGUUCAAAAAGAUAAAGAAAAGGAAAACCUAAUUAAAUAUUUCUAUCACAUUUCAACAAGGAAGAGAUGGUACAAUUGACUACAUGACGACGAAGAAGCAUUUUCCAUUCCCUAAAUACUAAGAAGUUAUCUUCUGAGUUGUCUGAAAAAAUAUCUGUGCUACUGACAAUAAUUUUUGAGAAAUACUGUAAUACACUAGUGAAAUACACUGGUAAAGUGUCUGUAAUGUGCUAAUACUGAAAAAAAGCAGAUAAGGAUAUAUGAGGUAGCUGUAGGCUAACUCUAUUCCUGAGCAAAGUAAAUGAAAGGUUCAUAAGGGAAUCAAUGAACGAAGACUUAAAAAUGAGAAUGUGAUUAAUUUCAGUCAGUUUAUGGAGAAUAGAUCCUACAAAGCAAACCCUGGUGUUUGACUUAGUAUCAGUUGCUAUUUAAAAUUAAAAAAUAGCUCUAUAAUGUAAAUUGCACUGACUGUAAAGAGAACUGUCUUAAAAUAUGAUUGUCCACAAGGAAUCAUCUUCUAAUGGAGAUGUUAAAGUAGUCCUGUGCCCAGACUCCUAUUCAGACUAAAUGACCCAGGUAGCCAUACAUAAAGCUGGUUUUAAUAAAGGAGGUCUAUUGAGUCAAAUGCAUUUUAAUACAGCUGGUGUAAAGUUCUACAUCUAAACUAAGAAAUUCAGACCUUUAGAGAAAUGACUGCGUGUUGGAAAGUGAUAACUAAAAACAACCAAGUUCACAGAGUGACAGUUCAGCUUAAGUUUCCAGUGUGAUAACAUGGAGUGAAAAUCAAAUCAGAGUCUUCAGAUUUUCUAAAUAAAAUAUUAGCAAGAAAAUGAAAGGAAGUGGUUUUAUUUCCAGAUGAGAUGACUAUAAGAAUUAAUAUGGUGCCUGCAAUUUUGAUAUUGAUAAAUUGAAAAGAACCGUAACAGCUACUCAAAACGUGGAGAGAAUAUCUUUAAGUAAGAGAAUCAGAGUAUAAAAUCUGCUUAGAUUACCAAAACAAAAUUGAGAAGUGACUCUAUAAAGAUAAGUAAGAAACUUCUCAGUGGAAAAAAGGGUAAUUGAGGCCUCUCUCACAUAGAAGAAGUUCAAGAGAGUCAGUCCAGUAGUUUAUCUGUCUUUGCACUCUCUGAACUUUCCAACUUUUGCGGUGAAAUCUGUUUUUUUUCAUUGCAGCUAUUUUUUGCUGAGUUACAUGCCUAGUCUAAGUUCUUGAGAUUCCUAUACAAUGAGUACGUGAGUAUCCACAAAAUAAUAUUCAUUUCCCCUCCUACACUUCGGUUGUAGGACAGGAUGAAGCACCACUGUAUGUUCCCCUACAAUGUAGAGUACUGCAUUAAUUGUAGUUUAAUUGCAGAUUCAUUAUGGAUUCACCGUAGAUUUGUCUACACUGUGGAAGGCAAACAACACAUGUAUGUGAAUCACAGCCUCAUGCACUGUCAGGACACUUCAGGACAGCCACUGCACAGAGCAUGACUGUAUCCGAAGGAUGCCAUGGAAUCUGAAGAAUUCGUCUAAGUUGGUACAGCUGAAGAGACUGACCAGCCCUCACAGGCAGAGCAGCCAAAUGAUAUCUGUAAACCACAGAAGCAUUCUGACACCACUGAGAUGACAAUCCUUUGCCUGAGGACGUCCGAGAAUAAAGCAGAAAAGUCAUGAUGAAAAGUAUUAACAAAAUGUGGUGGGAAUAAAUAGUUUAGAAGUCACAGUAACAUCUCUGAAAGUGAAUGGUGAUUCUAGAUGUCCCAGUCUCUGAAUGGCCAACUUGGAGAUGCGUUCUAGGAAAUCGUGCCAUAGAAGUCAUACUUUUUGGGUAGGCAAAACCAGCAUAGCAUAGUCUAGCCACCAAAAAUCUAUUUGAAUCAAAUGCCUGCCUCCUUUGGGAACCAAAAAGUGUCUGUUGAUUUUGUUCUUUUCCUUUUUCAACAUUAAUGUGACUGAAGAAAGGAUUGUUUUACUGAUGUUUUCUUUGGUGAUUAAAUACUAUGAAUAUGUUAUCUGAGUUUGAUGGAUUGCUUAUGUUCUGGGUGUCAGCAAUUGUAAUGUAAACACUGGUGAAGGUCUUCAGAUGACACACUGCUCUGUGCUGUUUUGCCAUAUAAAAAAGGUGUUUGUUUUAGAAAAACUCACAUUUCCUACAAAUACAUGCUGAGUGUUCUGUCCUAGCAAUUUGUUAAUUCACAGAAAUAAAGUUCUUUUUAUAGUC
Molecule: long non-coding RNA, 67709 nt
Organism: Columba livia (rock pigeon)
Lineage: Eukaryota; Metazoa; Chordata; Aves; Columbiformes; Columbidae
Exons: 3
Source: RefSeq, a predicted model, not a curated record